AUUAUUCAAACUUUAUGAACGAUCAUCACGAACAAAUAUUCUAUGUCGAACUUUGAUAUAAGCGUUUGUCAAAUUAGCAGGUUGACACUAUAUUCCGGGCUAGAUGAUGUGGGCUCUAAGCCCACUAAGUAUAUGAGAUUGGGAGGAUUUAGGUCUAUUCGAUAUAUUUACAUUUUAAUUAAAGUAAAGUGACGAGAAUUAUAAAAAAUAAUAAUAUAAAAUAUCUAUUUUCAAGCUACUUCUGGGCUAAGCAUUCUCUUAUCUAUAAAUAGGGCACUGCCCUCUCUCAAAACAGAUCUCAGGAGUUAGGACCAACUCUAAAUUCCCCCAACUUUCAAAAGCCUCCUUUGAUCUCACUCUCCAGUGCACCCUUCCGACAACACUAAGAAAAAAUUUCCUCUUCACUCAUUCGCAUAUUCCUCCAUCCAUGGAAGCUUGCUUCCUCUAAACACUUCUAUACCCCUGUCAAGAAACCAGAAACCAAUAACUAGUAAGAUAACAAAAGCAUAAUGAGCACUUAUACACCAAGAAUCCAUAGAGAUGCUUGAAUUUCAGAGCCUAGUGUUUCGAAAUUCAACUAUUUUUAUCGAUUUUCUUCUAUACAAAAAGAGCUUAGUUAUCCGUAAAUUUCAAUCUAACUUCAAUUACUAUGUAUUAAUAUUUUUCUUAUCUAUAUAUAUACUAACAUUAACUAACAAACUGACACUUCUUUUGCUGACUAAACAUUAUAUUCACAACAUGUUUAAUUUGAUUAUCACUGAUGUUCAUUACAAGUCAUACACGCAGCAACACUUACUAUCUUAGCAACCCUGCACAUUAAUCCCCCCCCCCCCAACCUAAGAUAAUACUUACAUUGCUUUAGCUUUGAUUCUAUUAUCACCUACAAUGGCAUCGAUUUCAGUGUAAACUAAUCAUUUAUGCUAGUCUUUAUUUGUUGGUCUACAACAGCCAAGUCAAAUACUAUGAUUUAGCCACUAGUACACACGAAGAUCAAAGUCAACAGUUAUAAAUCAAACCCGAAAUCACAAAACCAGCAAUUUACCUCCUCUGAACUCAGAUUUCAUCCAUGUCCGUGUCUACUGAUCUCCUCCGGGGGAAGCAUAAGCGUCAACCCAGAUCCAAUCUAUCGAUUUGCUUAUCCUUUUGCAAUAUUAGGAACUGGUGUUAAGAAUAAAUCAAUCGGAAAAUAAAAGUCAGAAUCUAGUUUGUAAUCUAACCGUCCAAUUAAAAAAAGAUUAAGAUCUGAAUUUGAGAAAAAGAGAGAAUUAGAGAACUAGAAGGUCGUGAGAGGAAACGAUGUACAUUUUCUCCUUGUACUUUUCCAAUCAACGACGGCUUCCAGAAACGGCUACCGACGAAAAACUACGGGAGAAGAGAAGACCAGCGGCGGCAACGCAGAUCCGACGAAGAGUCCAUGGUAGUAUAACCAACCUCAAACGGAGAGCGAAGAUUUUUGUUUUGAGAGGAUCUUAAAUCAACUUCUGGCGGCUUCCCGCGGUGAGACAGACUGCAGCCGCUAAAAAGAGCGAUGAAGAGACGGCAGUUCUGACCCGAUAACGGCGAUCUACGACAGAGGCAAGGGUUGAUCGACCCUGAUAAUCAACAUAAAAAGAUGAAGGUAAUAUUUUAAGAGUUCCUCUUUUGGUUUAUGUUGUACAUAUGCAUUUUUUGGACAUGGUCAAACUUCUCGAUAUGGGGAGUGAUUAUAUUCAACCAGUUUCAACCGUAUUCAACCAUCAUAGCUGUCACCAAACAUGGAGGGGCAGCUUGGGUAUUUCAAAACGUAUUUUAUUUUUAAUUUUAAUUUCAGCACUUCCUUCGCCAACGACGUCAAUGCCUCUCCACCACCUCGGAUUCAUCGACGGCUCCUCCUCCACAUCUGAUUCGUCAACGAACGCCAUCACCUUCGAUUUGUAGACGUAGGCACAUAGCCACCCGAAUGAGAUCCUCCUCCACCUCUGAUUCCUUGGUGAUGAAAGUCUCUGGUGAUGAAAUUAGAAGUGAGAUGGAGGAGUUUUGGGACUUCUGAUAAUGAAAUAGGAAGGGAGGAUUAAAUUUGAAGAAGAGUUGAUGAAGGAAUCAGAGUGGUAGGAGGAGUAGAGGGUUCUCCGGGUGGAUUGCGACGACGGCGAUUUCCACCGGGGAAGAUGACUGGAUAAAGUCCAAUUUAGUCCCCAAUUUGUUUUACAAUUUCAGUCCACAAAUUUUUGUGAGUUACUUCUGUAAUCUGUGCUUUUUAAUUAUGUUCUACCGGGGCCCAAUAACUUCUUCAAUUAACACAAACUAGUCAAGGAUAGUUAUGAGACGACAUAAUCGAGUUUAGUGUCUAAGGUUUUAAAAAUGAGGGUCUAGAGUUUAGCAUUUCGGUUCUUAAUUGGGGUUUAUGACCGAUUAUAAUAUUUGGUUAACCGAUUAUAAUAAUUGAUUAUAACCGGUUAUAACUACUAUUUUAUAAUUUAUUGAUUAUAACGGGUUAAAACUACUAUUUACAACUUACGAUUAUAACCAAUUAUAUAUAACUACUAUUAAUAACUUAUUGAUUAUAAUCGGUUAUAUUAACUAAUUACAACUAAUUAAUAAUAGAUAGGGAAUAUGGUCAUUUUGCCCUUGUACUUUUCCCAAUCAGCAUUUGGCCCCCGCCCCAGUACUAUUCUAUUUUCCAUUUACGCCCCUGCACUAUGCUCACUUCACCAUCUAUUGGAUGUAAAUGAAAUGAUUUUUCAUUUCCUUCCUUUCCCGCCAAAUUCUACGACACCUCACCAUUAAGUGAAACGGUGCGCUCAAGCUUCAGCAAGGAUAAGAAGGAAACGUCACCGUUCCAAUCAUCUUCUCCAGCUCAUCGUCCUUUUCCUUUCUCUGCUCACCUCUGCUCACCUCUGCUCACUUCUGAUAAUUUCUGUUAGAGCUCUAACGCUCCUGGCCAGCUAAUGAGCUGUGCAACUUGUCGUCUUCCAAUUCCAUAACUUGUAUAUGAACCAAUGAUUCAAUCAAUGAAAAAGGUGAGCUGAAUUUCUUUAAUUCCAACCAAAUUAACAUGGUAUCAGAGCGGAAUUGAAAACGCCAUGGCUGCAGCAGAAUACCCUCUAGCUGAUCCUUACUACCUUCAUGGUAGUGAGCAACCUGUCACCACAAGUAAUUACACUGACUGGAGUAGAGCGAUACACAAUGCCCUUGGAGCAAAGAACAAGGUUGGCUUUAUUGACGGAAGCAUUGGAGAACCAGAGGUUGUAGAUGCAAUGUUCUGGCCCUGGACUAGAUGCAACAUCAUGGUGUUAAGCUGGCUACAGCAGUCAGUCGAGCCAGGCAUCAGAAAGACAAUAAUGGGACUAAAGAGUGCUCAAGAUGCCUGGGAGAGCCUCAAAGCACGCUAUGGACAAGGGGAUGUCAUCAGGAUUGCAGAAAUCCUUGAGCAACUUUCAAAUUUGAAGCAAGGUAACCAGACUGUAACUGAGUACUAUGGUUCAAUCAUCACCCUUAGGGAUGAACUCAGAAACUAUCAACCUCUUUUUAACUGUGAAUGCACUGCCACAAGUCACCUCGAUUGCUUGGCAAUGAGGAAGGUCUAUGUCUAUGAGGACACCAACAAUGUGAUUCAUUUUUUGAGAGGCCUAAAUGAGAACUUUGCUGGUCCUCGCACUCAAGUGCUUUUUGGUGAUGAACUCCCUAACAUUGAUAAGGUGGUUCAACGUAUGAUACAACAUGAGAGGCAGCUGUAUGGAACACAGUUCAAGGCUACUAACGAGCCUAUGACACUGCUCUCCCCAUCUGCAAGCAUCAACUAUGCAGGACAGCAAGCAAAUUUUCAUCCAAUGCCUCAGAAGGGAAGAGUGCUGUUUUACACAUUCUGCAAAAUGCAAAACCAUACAGUGGACAGAUGCUUCUUCAAAAAUGGCUUCCCUCCAGGAGUCACCCCUAGACCUAUGCCUCAACCAGGAGCAAGAGGACCAACAAACAACAAGCCUGCUUUUACUCCAAAUCAUGGAGCCUACAAACCACAAAUACAUGCAGCAGCACAAUCCAGUGAAGGAGGUGCUAUCCAACUCACGCAAGACCAAUUCUCACAACUCAUGAAUGCCACGAAGUUCAAAGAUGGAGCAGGAGCAAGCACCUCCAAUCCUCAACCAUCAGGUGCUCAUAAGCAAACUACACUGAUGUAUUCAACAGGCAAGUUCUGUGGUAAUAGUUUUAUGCAUUCCACACCAGAUGAGGUUGUUUGGAUUGUAGACACAGGUGCAUCAGACCAUGUUGUGAGCUCACUUGCACUGAUGACAUCAAGCAAGCAAAUAGAUGCCUUGAUGAUCACAUUGCCUACUGGACAGCAAGUGCAAGCAACUCAUACUGGAACAGUGUCAAUAAAUGACAGUUUGUCACUCCAGAAUGUCCUAUAUGUUCUUGAUUUUGCUUUCAAUUUAUUCUCAGUAAGCAGGCUCACGGCUCAACAACCCCUGAGGCUAACUUUCUCUUCCACGCAUUGUGUAUUGCAGGACCUGUCGAGGAACACAACAAUUGGUUUAGCUGAACUACACAAUGGACUGUACAAGCUGAUAGCCUGCAAACCAGUUAGUCACAUCGCCUCCACUCAAAGAAAUAAGCCUUUUGAUUUAUGGCACUUUCGUCUAGGACAUGUUUCACAUCAUAGAACUCCUUUCCUUAAGCAGCUCAAUCCUAGGAUAGAGACUUUCCCUCUAGCUCCCUGUGAUGUCUGCCAUUUUGCUCGACAGAAGCGUUUAUCAUUUCCUCAAAGUUUUUCCAGUACUAAAGUUCCUUUUGAGUUAAUUCAUACUGAUAUUUGGGGACCAAAUGCUUGUCCCUCACAUGAUGGUUAUCUUUACUUCCUCACUAUUGUUGAUGAUUACACUCGCAUGACCUGGAUCAUGAUGCUUAAGUUAAAAUCAGAAGCCAGACCCUCACUACAAAAUUUCUGUUCCCACGUCUUAAACCAAUACAAAGCUAGUGUUCAGCGGAUUCGCACUGAUCAGGGGAAGGAAUUCUCCAUGCCUCUUUUCUAUCACGAAAAGGGAAUCUCCCAUGAAAUGUCAUGUGUUGAAACUCCCCAACAAAACAGCAAAGUCGAAAGAAAACACCAACAAAUCCUAAACAUUGCCAGAGCCCUCAAGUUUCAAGCCAAUUUGCCCAUAACUUUCUGGUCUGAUUGUGUCAAACAUUCUGUCUUUCUUAUGAAUCGAAUUCCUACCCCUGUCCUGAACAAUAAGACACCUUAUGAAGUUCUACACAACAUAAAGCCUAAACUAGAAGAGCUGAGAGUUUUUGGUAGCCUGUGCUAUGCCAGCACACUUGCAGGACAUAGAACCAAAUUCCAGAAACGAGCCAGAAAGGGAGUGUUCAUAGGAUUCACACCUGGAAUCAAAGGAUACAGGAUCUAUGACUUAGACUCACAUCAAACUUUUGUAUCUAGAGAUGUGCAUUUUUACGAAAACACCUUCCCCUUCCAUGAACAUAACCAGCCUACACCUGAUGUAACACCUUCUGUUGAUGUGCAUUUCAAUGAUCCAAUUGAUGACAUAAACCCUACUAACCCUUCUGCACCUCCUACGAUCCCCCCUGAGGCAGAACCAACACUUCCUAAUGAGCAUGACCAUUCCCCUAGCAGUGAUAGUGACGAAGAACCAGCCAUCCAACCCACUCAAUCUUCCCCACAAAACAGAAAAAGCACCAGAUCCCACAAACCACCAUCCUACCUGCAGGACUAUCACUGUCAACUCCUUGUGCAGCAAGGCAACGCCAACUGGGGUGCUCCAAAGGUAUGUCCUAAUCUGCAUAAUGCUGGAAGGGUGGUUCACCCUCUCAGUACAGUGCUUUCUUAUGAUGACUUAAGCCAUAACCAUAAGCAUUUUGUUUUGAGCAUAACUUCUGAAAAAGAGCCUAGAUCUUAUGCAGAAGCAGUUAAGGAUCCCAGAUGGAAUGCAACCAUGAAUCAAGAAACUCAGGCCCUUGAAGCCAACAGGACUUGGGAAGUUGUUGACCUACCUGUAGGCAUGAAGGAAAUUGGCAGUAAAUGGGUCUACAGAAUCAAAUACAAGUCAGAUGGCUCAAUUGAAAGAUUCAAGGCCAGAACUGUGGCAAAGGGUUACACUCAGGAGGAGGGUAUUGACUACCAAGAGACCUUCUCCCCAGUGGUGAAAAUGACUACAAUUCGAACCUUUCUGGCUCUUGCUGCUUCCAGGGACUGGUAUGUGCAUCAAUUGGACGUAAACAAUGCUUUUCUACACGGUGACCUACACGAGGAAGUCUACAUGAAACCUCCUCACGGUCUGAAAGUCGAUGGUUCAUUCAAAAGACCAGUCUGCAAACUGCUCAAAUCACUAUAUGGACUCAAGCAAGCUUCCAGACAAUGGUACUGUAAGCUCUCUGAUAAAUUGCAAGAAAUAGGAUACACACAAAGCAAAGUUGAUCACUCACUCUUCUUGAAAAACACUGGUAUGUCAUUUACAGCAGUUUUAGUCUACGUUGAUGAUCUGAUAGUUGGAGGAAAUGAUUUUUCUGAGAUUUCGAUGCUCAAGGAAGCACUGCACAAUGCAUUCAAAUUAAAGACCUAGGAGAGUUGAAAUACUUCCUAGGACUUGAAGUCGCAAGAGAUGUUACAGGAAUCCAUCUAUCACAAAGAAAAUACAUACUGGAGCUCUUGGAAGAAACAGAAAUGCUGGAAAGCAAACCAGUAGCUACACCAAUGGAUUACAAAACACACCUCUCCUCAAUAGGUGAUGAUGAUUUUGGCGACCCUGAGCUAUACAGAAGAAUAGUAGGAAAAUUGAUUUAUUUGAAUAACACAAGACCAGAUAUAAGCUUUGCUACGCAACAAGUAAGCCAAUUCAUGGCCAAGCCUUUGAAUGUUCAUUACAAAGCUGUUACAAGAAUUUUGAGGUAUUUGAAAGGGGUUCCUGCUACUGGAAUUCUGUUGUCUUCCACUUCAAGCCUUCAACUGCAAGCCUACAGUGACUCAGAUUGGGCAGCUUGUCCAGACACUAGAAGAUCAGUGACUGGAUAAUUCUUGUCUNNNNNNNNNNNNNNNNNNNNNNNNNNNNNNNNNNNNNNNNNNNNNNNNNNNNNNNNNNNNNNNNNNNNNNNNNNNNNNNNNNNNNNNNNNNNNNNNNNNNNNNNNNNNNNNNNNNNNNNNNNNNNNNNNNNNNNNNNNNNNNNNNNNNNNNNNNNNNNNNNNNNNNNNNNNNNNNNNNNNNNNNNNNNNNNNNNNNNNNNNNNNNNNNNNNNNNNNCCGGUGUUGGGGGGGGGGGGGUAUUGGAUGUAAAUGAAAUGAUUUUUCAUUUCCUUCCUUUCCCGCCAAAUUCUACGACACCUCACCAUUAAGUGAAACGGUGCGCUCAAGCUUCAGCAAGGAUAAGAAGGAAACGUCACCGUUCCAAUCAUCUUCUCCAGCUCAUCGUCCUUUUCCUUUCUCUACUCACCUCUGCUCACCUCUGCUCACUUCUGAUCAUUUCUGUUAGAGCUCUAACGCUCCUGGCCAGCUAAUGAGCUAUGCAACUUGUCGUCUUCCAAUUCCAUAACUUGUAUAUGAACCAAUGAUUCAAUCAAUGAAAAAGGUGAGCUGAAUUUCUGUAAUUCCAACCAAAUUAACACCAUCCGUCCCCUUCCAUUAUGGGUUUCGUUCGUAAGCCAUUAAAAUGGCAUGAUUAGACAUGACACGAAGGCUUUAUUUGUCACGAUAAUGCCACAUCAGCGAAGUGUUGUUUUUUAGAAACGAAUGGAAGGGGGUAAUAUUUUCCAAUGUGGCCCAAAACCCUUUGUACGUAUUCCCUUUCCCAUGAUAGAACCCUCCCCCUAGCUUCUCACAUCCGAUGGUGAUUUCCUUAUAUGUAUAUCAUCACCAAUUUCGUCCUUCACUACCGGCGACCUUGAAUUGUGGUCGUGGGCCCGUCUCCGAAACCCCCACCCCUACUUUCCCCUAAGCACCCCUUAAUCGAGAAACCCUAAUUUCCGGUUUGUCUUCAGUUGUCUACCGGAAUAGUGAAACCGAGUGUUAUUGUUGUAGAUUUGCUGUAGACAGACGAUAGUAGAGCGGAGGCUAUAUCAAGCAGGUAUAAGUAGUAAACUCAAUAGUGUGAAGUUUAUUUAUUUUGAAAGGAGAUGUUGUCAAAACAGUAGCCUUAUAAUAAGACUUAUUUCUUUUCUUCUUGAUCCAAAAUAAGACAAGAAGAAGCGGCUUUGUUAAAGUAGUCAACAGAGAAUUGUAUCUUCGUUCGAAACCGAAGCACACAAUACAUAGCUAAAAAUCGAGUGUUUGGCGAGUCGAUGACAAUAUGAGACGCGAGAAAAAUGAAGAUAUGUUUGACGAGAAUGACUCGGACUUUGAUGAUAACGAGUUCGAUAAUGAGUCCGAAAGACAAUGAUUUUGAACUUGAUUCUUGGACUAGUGAAGAAGAAGGAGAAGAUUUUUAAGCGAUUAGAAAGAAAGUGCAAACAGCCAAAGAAAAUUUAAAGGGGUUGUUUUGUUGGCUAACCAUAAUGAUGAUGCAUAUGAAAGUGAUAGAUUUGAUUCAGAUGAUAAUAGAUACUACGAUGAGGUGGACGCCAAGGGUGAAUGUAGAAGGAGGAAGAUCCCAUUUGUAAGGUACAAAAGAAAUACUGACAAGCCUUAUUUUGAGACUAUCACAACGCUUUCAAGCAUGAAGGAGAUAAGAAAAGCCAUUGAAAACAUGCUAUUAAAUAGAGAAAUCACUUAAAUUGGGUGAAAAAUGAUCCUACGCUUUCAAGCAUGAGUUGACGGUACGGGAUAAGAAGAACCAACGAAGAUGAGUCGAGUUGGUCGAGUAAUGACUUGCAAGACAUGCAAACAGGAUGGACACAACUCGAGGGCAUCUGAAUCCCGAUAGAAGAAUCAGGUUUGUUUUUCCUUAGAAAUUUCAUAUUAUGUUGUAAUUUUAACGUGGAAACGACCAAAUGUGAAUCAGGAAGGAAUCGUCAUUACUAUUGGGCUGCAUUACUUGUGUUCUCUAUUUACAGGUCAUGAAGCCCAAAACCAAGCCCAUACGAAUGAUGCUGAUGCUGGCCCAAACUAGAAUCAAGAGAGGACGCAAGGAGCUGCCGCUGCUGCAACUCUCUUGACCUAGCCGCGACUGAGAUGAGAAAGGAAAGAGGGAUUCUUCCUCGAAGCUUCCUCUGGCGUGGUUCAUCAGCAAGGGCAUCGUCUCGUAAACUAUAAAAGCGAGCCGCAACUUGCCUUCAUCCUUGCGCUUUUCACCUUUGAGAAGACGUGGGCUGGGAUGGCAAAUGCAGAGGGGCCUUUGUAUAGGAUUGCCGAGCUUCAACAAUCGUCAACCUGAUCGGAGAGUCGAGGACUACGGUGGACUGCAGCAGGAGGGUGCACCUGCGAUCGGAGGUUUUGAUUGGAGGUUGAAGACUUCAAGUGUUUAGGUCAUAAAGUCGCCGGGUUUCAUUUUAUCGUUUUGUUUUUAGUUCUUGCUACUGGUUCUAUUUCUGCAUUUUACCUUUGGUUCAGUAGCUAGUUAGAGUCUUGGGUUUUGAUUAAGUUUGUUGUGUAACUUGCUCAUCUGUGUCAAACUUAAUCACACUUUUGAUUCAUCUUGUGUUUAAUCCAAGUUGUCCUACUAUAUCGUUAGAAUUGCAUAAUAAGAUUAUACAUUGAUUGAUCUAGAAUUCUGACAGUAGUUCUUAGCUUGUAAUCAGCUUGUAAUCUAUGUUGCUGGUACUGUUAUUCCUAUCACGCUACGAUUGUGUUCAAUUGCCUUUCCUCAGGAACAGUGAUUCAUUCUUUAUUAACUUAAAGAGUUACAGAAACGUUUAGUUUGUUUAAUAGCUUAAGUAACUGUGUUAGGUUGAGAUAUUACUGCUCCUACAAUUACUUGGCUUCACUAUUAGGUUGAGUUUUAUUGGAAUAUAUUUCAGCCACUGCUCGUAAUUUCAUAAAGCAAUCUUACUUUGCAGACUUCUAGUUACAGUUGAUCGCGGCAGACGGAUCAGAUUACAACAAUUUGUGUCAAAAUAGAGUUAAAACUACAACAUUAGCAAGCUUAACACAUGAACCUCUAGUUCCAUUAAUUAAACGAGAUUGUGCAAGAUCUUGAAACAAACAGUUACAGGCUAAGUGCAAUCCUUCUCGACCGAAACACCUCGGCGCAAGCAGAAUACAUGUUAAGUUACCGAUUUAUACCUACCAACUCAGCCAAAACACUCGCUUGUUUCCUACAGCCAUACUUUGUGGAGAUAGCCUCAGCUACGCUAUGGUCUGUUUUCCGAAGCAAAAGUUUCACUCGAUUUUUCUAUUACUGUGGUGGAUUGAAGAUUCUACCAAAUAAUUGUCGAUUUAGGGGUUUUUGNNNNNNNNNNNNNNNNNNNNNNNNNNNNNNNNNNNNNNNNNNNNNNNNNNNNNNNNNNGGGGAGGGAGGGAGGGAGUUCGGGGAUGGGCCGAUGACGACGAGAAGGCCGGCGGCGUCGGAUGUGAGAAAAGUUGGGAGUCGAGACGAGAAGAGUCAAGAAAGAAGGAAAUGAUGACCAUGAGAAGGUCGGCUGUGUCAGAUGUGAGAAAGAUUGGGGUCAAGAAGAGAAGAGUCAAAAAAGAAGGAAAUAAUGUAUGCAAAUUAGGUGGACCAGCGUUCAAUGUUACAAUUGCUCAAAAUAUGGGCAUCAUGCCUGAGAGUGUUGGAGUCCGCCUAAGGAAGUUGAAGAAACGGUGAACAAAAUCGAAAAAGAGAUUGUAAAUGGCAAGGCGCUGCUAUCCUACUAGGGUGAAAAAGGCGCAGUGAUAACAUGUGGUACCUCGACAAUGCAGCAAGCAACCACAUGUGCGGGAAGAAGAACAUGUUCGUGGAGAUAGACGACAGAGUAAAUGGAAACUUAGUAUUUGAAGACUCGUCGAAAGGUUAAAUAAUCAAAGGAAGAGGUACGAUUCUAAUUCGUUCAAAACAUGGUUCUCACCAGUUUAUUAAUGAUGUCUACUAUGUUCCAAAAAUCACAUGCAAUAUAUUGAGUCUCGGACAAUUGCUACAGAACAAGUAUGAAGUUCCUAUGGUGGAUCGACAAUUGGAGCUACAUAAUGAUAAGGAGUUGAUUGCUAGAGUAGCAAUGUCGAAGAACAGAAUGUUCCCCUUGAUCAUCCAACUAGACAUGGUGAAAUGCUUGAAAACUUGUGUGAAGGAAGAUAACUGGAUAUGGGAUCUGAGAUCUAGACAUCUAAAUUUUGGAUGGCUAAAGUUACUAGGCCAGAAGAACAUGGUGCAUGGCUUAUCGAUCAUCAAUCACCCAGAUCAACUUUGUGAAGGAUGUCUUGCUGGAAAGCAAUUCCAGACAAGUUUCCCUAAGGAAUCGCAAUCAAGAGCAAAAGCACCACUCGAGCUAGUCCACACUGAUCUUUAUGGACCAAUAUUUCCUACUAUUUAUUGAUGACUAUAGCCGGAAGAAGUGGGUUUAUUUUUUGAAGGAAAAUCUGAAACAUUUAGAGCAUUCAAAAAGUUUAAGGUGCUUGUAGAGAACGAGAGUGGCUGCUACAUCAAAGCUCUAAGAUUAGAUAGAGAUGGAGAAUACAUGUCUGGAUACUUUAGAAGAUUUUGUGAAGAACAUGGAAUCAGGCACUUCCUAUAUGUCCCCAGAUCUCUCCUCAACAAAAUGGCAUUGUAGAGAGAAAGAACGAGACGGAACUCAACAUGGUGCAAAACAUGUUGAAGAGCAAGAAUCUAUCAAAGGAGCUAUGGGCUGAAGCUGUUGAACAGGUCACCAACAAGGAGCAUUUGAAUCAAACACCUCCAGAAGUAUGGAGAGGACGGAAGCCAAAUGUCUCUCACUUACGAGUUUUUGGAAGUGUGGGACAUGUGCAUGUACCAGAUGAACGAAGAACGAAGUUGGAUGACAAAAGCAAUAAGUUUUUGUUCGUGGGCUAUUUAGAGCACUCGAAGGGAUAUAAAUGCUCGACCCCCUACCAGAAAAGGUGAUCAUUAGCAGAGACGUAACUAUCGAUGAAGAUGCAAUAUGAGACUAGAAUGUGGUAUUCUUAUGACUCACUAUUCAUUUUUCUUUAAUAAACCAUUCUUUUUCAUUCAUCUCCUCAAUCAGGAGUGUAUUAGAGUGUGUUUGGAUAGGUGUAUGUAUUUACAUUUUGAAUUUCAGAGAAUUGAAAUGUAUGAACUUGAAAUUCUUUUUAAAUUGAAAUCAUGUGUUUGGAUGUUAAGUUAUUUUAUGUAUAUUUCAAAUACAAUACACAUAAUCUUUCAUCAAAACAAUACAUAAUUAUAUAAAAUAGCAAAGCUCUCACAUCACCAAUAGAGGUGAUAGGCGACAGAGCUAGCUAACACCCGACAGAUGAGGUUGUCGGUGGAGGUGGCUGGCGAUGGUGAUCGAUAGACGGCAAAACAGAGCUCUCACAUCACCAAUAGAGGUGAUAGGCGACAGAGCUAGCUAACACCCGACAGAUGAGGUUGUCGGUGGAGGUGGCUGGCGAUGGUGAUCGAUAGCCGGCAAAAGAGGUGCACGCCCGACGACAGAGGUGAUUCUUGGUCGGUGGAUCCAACGAAAGUGGAUAGCUAUAGUGCCUGAAGGCCGACGAUGAUGGUGGCCGGCGACGGAGGUUGUAAUGGAUGGCGAUGGAGGUGGUUGAAAAUGGUGGUGGACGACUGACGGCAGAGGUGACUCAUGGGUGAUGGUGAAGAUGGUCGGUGCCUGACAUAUGGCAGUGGAGGUGGUUGGGAUGUUAGCAUACGACCGGCAGUGGAGGUGAUUGUUUGCUGGCGAAUGGUGGUGGAAUUGGAUGGCGAUGGUGGCCUAGAACGGAGGUCAUCAACGGAUGGCGCUGGAGGAGGCUAGCGAUAGUGGUUGACGACCGACAGCGAAGUUUGUCGGUGGAUACCGUAUGUGGCGGUUUCCAAUCAUUGCCAACCGCUUGUCACCUCUUUAUUCUUGUAUAAGAAAAAAGCGUUGGAAAAUCGAUGGAAAUUUUUAUGGUGGCAGUAAAAAAUUGCCAUCAAACUUUUCGGUGAUUAGAAAAAACUCGCCGAAAAAUUUCGGUUAACAAAAGUUACCGGAAUUUCGGAUCCAAUCUCUGCAUUAGUUUGUUAAUUUCAAAUCGACCCAAAUGCAAAGGAUUUGAGCCUUACAUUUCAUUUUAAAUCAAAUAUAAAAUACAUGUUUCAUCUAUACACUAUUAUUGUUGUCUUGAACAAGACCUUCCUUCUUUUCACACUAUUACCGAUAAGAAAAGAAUGAAAAAAAAUUGCAUUAAAUUGUCAACUGAUCCUAUGGGAAAUAGGAUUGACUACGAAUUCAAGGCAUGGCACAUAAUUUCAUAAAAUUGUAUGCUUUUCCCGCCUCUUUUUGCUAAGCCCUUUUUCCUCGAUUCACGGAAACAAAAUAUAAGACUGGUGCCAAAUAGUUCAUCAAGGAAGAAAGAACCAUCGAGCCUAAAUUCUAUAUUAAUUCAAAUUAACUCAUAUGCUCCCGUUUUUAAUAAGAUUUAUGCUAAAAACAUACAAAUAUUGUAAUGGGCUUUUCCGUAAUAUUUAAAAUAUAAAAUGUAAACACACCUAUACAAACUCACCCUUAGAGUUUUGUACAAGGUGGACGACAAACCCCUAAAAGAGUAAAAGUAAUCCAAGAAGUAUUUUACACCUAUAUUUCGAAUCAUAAAAUUGUUAAUCGGACAAUCUAAAUUGAUGCCAGCAAAUGAAAUCCAAAAUUGCUUUUCAAGGAAAAAAACAAGAAAUCCAAAUCUGUACAAGGAGGACAUUGAAGAAAUGAAAUGAUGUCAGCAAAGGCAAGCUUUUGUGUUCAGAACAUAAUGUCCCCUGCACCAAAUCCCACCUAGUGUCCUACUCCAAAUCCCUUUUCACAAAUAUGGGUCGCUAUUCCUCUCUCUUGGUUCUGUCAUCGUAUUUAAACUUACCUUUGCUGACAUAUCAUUCAUCAUAAUCUACUCUAGCAUAUAUGUUUGAUCAUAUCUGUGAAAAAAACAGUAGCGCUUUGCACAGUUAUGGUCCAAAAAGGGGUAUCUAGCUACCUCCUGUAGUUAUUCCAAAUCCAACCUCGUUUCCCAUCCCUCCUCAGUCCUCUCUUUCCCUACUGUGAUAUUGGUGAACAAAAGAGUGUGAAAGAGAGAAACAAAGAAGAAGAAGAAGUAGAAGAUGGAGUUUCCAAGAGAGGAGGAUAUUGUCCAGCCACUCAAGUUCUUCAAGAUUAUACGUAGAGAAUCCCUGAAAGAUAAGAAACUAGUAAGUUCAGAUAUUCUGACUUGUUUUAUGCUUUUUUUCUCCUUUCUUUAUUUUCCCUUAAUAUGUUUCAUGGAUCAUAUAAGCAGAUGAUUCCUAGGGAGUUUGUGAGACAAUGUGGAAGGGACCUUAAAGGCAAAGCAACCCUUUUGGCCCCCGACGGUUUGAGAUGGGAUAUGAAGAUUGUCAAAGAUGAUGGUGAUGAUAGGAACCUCAAGUUUUGGUUCAAGAAUGGGUGGCAAGCUUUUGCUGAGUACUACUCCUUGUCCCAUGGAGAGUUCAUAUCUUUUCAGUACAAUGGUGGAAGAAACACCAGCUCGCUUGAGUUCUCUAUCACCAUAUUUGAUGAGAAGGCAGAGAAAGAGAGAGACUAUCCAUCAAUGGAGUGAGUAUUUCUUCUCUGCUAGUGAUGUUGCAGCUGCUACUGCUGUAUUGUGUCUGUUCAAGUGCUCUUGUUUUAGACAUGAAUAGGAGAAACCAAGACUCCUCAUCUGUUUCGAGUAGCAAGAAAUCGAUUAGGGUUCUUAACCGUUUCUGUUAGAUGAGAUGAGAUGUUUUGCAUUUCUGCAAGUUGUUGUAAGCUAAGUUCAAGACUUCAAAUGCAAUGUUAAUUGAUGUUUGUAAUGAAAAGGUUGGUUCAGAAAAUUAGCAAUGAGAGAAGAGCCAGCCUACACACAUACACUUCAUUAAACAAUGAUGGCAUUCGUCUGAGGUCGAGCUAAUUUCGGGAUGUGGCUUUUGGAGCGUCGUCUGGGGUUGUUGAUUAUGGUUUUUGUUUUGGGUUUUCUGAUGAUGAUGAUGUUCAUUUUAAUAGAGUUCUAUGGUUUUAAUGUGUUGGAUCUCCUGGGUGUUCUUUGACGCUGGUUUCUUGGUGCAAGUUGUUUAUCAACGAGAUGUUGGGGAAGGGAUUUAGUUCUUCAAAUGUUUUUGUUUGUGUCAUGGUUGCCCGAUUUAAAAUUUUUUGUAUAUAUUUUGAUUUAAAAUUUUGAAUCAAUUGUAUAUUAAUUUUUAAUAUUCAAUAAAUAUUUUUUGAAUGGAAUGAAAUUUAAAUUAAAUACAUAAAAUGGGUGUUAUUGGAUUCGAAAAAUUAUAAUGAACAAUAUUUGUGAAGAGAAUAAUAUAUUUUGAGUAAUUAAAAAAAUAUUAUGAAAGAAUAAUAAAUAAAAGGGAAAAAAAUUGGUGAAAGAUGAGUGAGGUGAGAUAUNNNNNNNNNNNNNNNNNNNNNNNNNNNNNNNNNNNNNNNNNNNNNNNNNNNNNNNNNNNNNNNNNNNNNNNNNNNNNNNNNNNNNNNNNNNNNNNNNNNNNNNNNNNNNNNNNNNNNNNNNNNNNNNNNNNNNNNNNNNNNNNNNNNNNNNNNNNNNNNNNNNNNNNNNNNNNNNNNNNNNNNNNNNNNNNNNNNNNNNNNNNNNNNNNNNNNNNNNNNNNNNNNNNNNNNNNNNNNNNNNNNNNNNNNNNNNNNNNNNNNNNNNNNNNNNNNNNNNNNNNNNNNNNNNNNNNNNNNNNNNNNNNNNNNNNNNNNNNNNNNNNNNNNNNNNNNNNNNNNNNNNNNNNNNNNNNNNNNNNNNNNNNNNNNNNNNNNNNNNNNNNNNNNNNNNNNNNNNNNNNNNNNNNNNNNNNNNNNNNNNNNNNNNNNNNNNNNNNNNNNNNNNNNNNNNNNNNNNNNNNNNNNNNNNNNNNNNNNNNNNNNNNNNNNNNNNNNNNNNNNNNNNNNNNNNNNNNNNNNNNNNNNNNNNNNNNNNNNNNNNNNNNNNNNNNNNNNNNNNNNNNNNNNNNNNNNNNNNNNNNNNNNNNNNNNNNNNNNNNNNNNNNNNNNNNNNNNNNNNNNNNNNNNNNNNNNNNNNNNNNNNNNNNNNNNNNNNNNNNNNNNNNNNNNNNNNNNNNNNNNNNNNNNNNNNNNNNNNNNNNNNNNNNNNNNNNNNNNNNNNNNNNNNNNNNNNNNNNNNNNNNNNNNNNNNNNNNNNNNNNNNNNNNNNNNNNNNNNNNNNNNNNNNNNNNNNNNNNNNNNNNNNNNNNNNNNNNNNNNNNNNNNNNNNNNNNNNNNNNNNNNNNNNNNNNNNNNNNNNNNNNNNNNNNNNNNNNNNNNNNNNNNNNNNNNNNNNNNNNNNNNNNNNNNNNNNNACACAACAUUAAUUAACAUACUUUUACUUUUAAUCAGAGAUCUAGACUCAAUCAACAGGUUAUAAAUAAUGGCACAAAGACAUAUUAGUAAAAAUUAUACUAUUAGGUGAAAAUAUAUAGUUCAAAACUAUUUUGAAGUUGAAUAUACCAAAUAUAAAACCAUUUUAAAUUUAUUCAACUUUUAUCAUAUUGAGAUCCUGACAAAUUUAUAAGCUAGUGUAGCUGGUACCAUAAUAAUGCACAAGCUACUCAUUUCAUAGGAUUCUAUCUAAAAACAUAUUAAAUAGGAUAUUGUAGAAUAUCUUUGUUUUAAAAAUUUCAAACAAACAACGUUUAAAUUCAUUAAAUUUUCGACCAACCGGCGAUCUAGUACUAUCAUUUAUAAAUAAAUAAAAAAUAAUGGCAUUCGUCUUUUGACAGACUUCAACAUUCCAAUUUCCACCAAAACUCUUUUAAGUUUAACAACUGAACCAAUAAAUAAACAACAACAUUGGCAGCCCUUUUCACAAUACAAAUCAUAGCUUCCCAAUCCCAAGUGCUAAAGAAUCCAAAAGUAUCAAUCCAUCACCCAAAUUGGACAAGCAUCCCCCCUUUCCUUUCCAUUCCUUGUCCCAUUCUUUCUGGUUUGUAUUUUUUUUUUUUUGCCAAGUCUGAACUACUGUCUUCAACUCACCAAACUAAUAAUAAUUACACGCAUUGAAGCUUCUGUAGAAUUAGAUAUUCACAGGCUGAACCAGCACUUUUCUUUCUUUCUAACAAGUGUGGCUGCAGUGGAUGACCAAUGCCUCAGCUUACCUAGGAAGAUCUUGAAGCCGGAAGGCAUCAGUCCGUGUGUUGUAACAAGAACGAGAAGCCUGAGUUUUCACGGAUCAGAGGUGGAGGUUCAAUAUCAGCAACUUCUACUUGCUCAAUUGACUUGGAGAUGUCGUCUACAGUAAAUGGUAUGCUGCAUUUUGUAGUAACAACAAAGGGAAGAGGGUCUCUUUUGUUUAGUUUUCCUUUCAUUCUGCAAGAGAGAGAGCUCUACACAAAAAUGUAUAAUAUAUUUUCUUACCUUGAAUCGUCAUCCAAUAAGAACGAGCUGCUUACAGCAUUGUUCGUAUCCUCUGUCAUCAUUAUUCUCAUGUUGGAAAUGACCUGAAAUUCGGAAGAAAUCCAUUAAGCAUACUGAACAGUAGCAUUACAGUAGCACGAGUAGAAAUUGACGACUUACCUCCGACGACACACUAUGUGUCCCGUAUUUGUCAUCCCAGUACAUGGUACUGAUUCUGUAUAAUUGUUGUAUGCUUAAAACCUGAAGACGCCACAAGAAAGAGGAUAAAGGAAAGGACAAGGGGCCAAAAACCGAUUUCGAAUGCUGAAAUGUAUUAUCCAAUGAUACUCACUGGACAAAGAUCUGUGGUUAUUUCUUUCAAGUUCUUUUUUGGCUUUUGAUGUAUCACCUGAAUGGAACCAAAGACAAGUAAGCAAACCAAGAUUAAGGAGAACAUUGCAGAUAACAAGAUGAGAUCUUUGAGUACCAAAAAGCCAACGGCUUGUCUUAUGUGUUUCAGUUCCUCCCAUGCUGGGCCUACAAACUGGAACGGAUGAAAAGUUGAAGGUGGUCAAUGGUUUUCCAAAGAGAGUAAAAGUGAGUAACAAGAUACCAACUAUUCUUACCUCGUCAGUUGCAUCAUGGCACCACUGUUCCAAUUCAGCCAACCCUGUCUUUACAUACUCUCCAUUGCUAAAUGAGCAACACUCUCGACGCAACAGAAGACUGAUCAAGAUCAAAAGUUUAGCUGUUAAAUAGUUACCUGUUUAGGAUACAUGAAAAGUCUAAAGAUGAGAGUUACCUGUUAAAUAACUGAACGUUGAUGAAUGAGAAUAUCUGGGUGAUUACCUUCCGUACUAGGAACGGAGGUACCUGUAGUAGGAACACCACAUUCAAGAACUUAUACUACCUAAACAGUAGUAGUAGUAGUAGUAGUAGAAGAAGAAGAAGAAGAAGAAGAAGAAGAAGAAGAAAAACCGAUUCUUAUCAACGUUCUCAGAAGUUCCAACUCACAUAGUUGGCUCGCAUUGUUUUCAAGCAAUUGUCCAGGCAUUUCACUAUGCUUUGCCAAUGAGCUACGAGAGCUUGUUGAGCCAUGGCAUUAGCUUGAGAACGUCCCUUGGCUAAGCCAGCCCUUGAUGUCCGUGGUGCCUGAGUGUAGUAGUAACAUUCCAGAUAUGAUUAACAAGAGUACUGAGUGUCUUGGUUCCUUCUUAUUAAUUUAUGUAUUGUCUGGUGUACCUACCUGGAUGCACAACCCAAUCAAGGGUGAUAUUUCUUUCUUCAAAUUGUCUCUUAUCAUUCCAUAUAUCUUUUCCAAGAAAGCCGUCAACUGCUGUUUGAAAAGCAAAGCAGGAUAUUUGGCUUCUACUUGUCGCAACUCCUCUAAACCUCCAAUCACUCUGCCAUUGAGGAAUGAGAAGCCAGCACUUUGUGGAGAACCGCGGAAUCCCUUAAACAUCACGAGUCAAGCAGAAAAGCAACUGGUAUUAGAAAUGGAUCCACAUGUGAAGACGGAAGAAAUAUUAAAAGCUCAUGUCCUCCCUCACCUGGGAUACUCUCCCAAACAGAGAAGAGGAUGUCGAUCUUCGCCGUUGUGGAGUUAAGCUAGCAGCACCAGUUGCUUUUAGCGUCCGUUGAAGCAACAACAAGAGCGUUGCCGAAUUUGAAAGCCAAUAAGACAAUACAUCGUUGUUAUCCUGGGCCUAUCAGCGGCAAUUGUCGUGAUAUCAGCAUUAAGUAAAAGCAGAGCUAUAUACAUCAACCCUAUAAAAUAUGUAUUUUCAGAUUUUAAAAUUCUACCAUAUCAGCAUAUUUAAAAAAUAGAACAUUCUCAAUGAUUUUCUCUUUUUAACCAAUCACCUUUUAAAUUUCUUUUUUCUUCAUUUUUUUAUUUUAAUUUUUUAAAUUCUCUCUCAUACUCCCAUCUUUCUUUUCCCUUUUAAUUAGUUUUUCCUUCAUAAAUUUUUUAUAGUUUACUCAAAACAUAUUGUUCCCUUUACAAAUGUUGUUCAUUAUAAUUUUUCGUGUAGAAUGACAUCAAUUUUUUUAUAUUUCAUUUUAAAAAAAAAUCAUCUAAUAUCAAAAUCAACGGUCAAUAAUAUAUACAUGAUUUAAUAUCAACUAUGUCCAAUCAACUUUAUUUGUUUUACAUAUAUAUGUUUAUCGGGUAUAUGUGUUNNNNNNNNNNNNNNNNNNNNNNNNNNNNNNNNNNNNNNNNNNNNNNNNNNNNNNNNNNNNNNNNNNNNNNNNNNNNNNNNNNNNNNNNNNNNNNNNNNNNNNNNNNNNNNNNNNNNNNNNNNNNNNNNNNNNNNNNNNNNNNNNNNNNNNNNNNNNNNNNNNNNNNNNNNNNNNNNNNNNNNNNNNNNNNNNNNNNNNNNNNNNNNNNNNNNNNNNNNNNNNNNNNNNNNNNNNNNNNNNNNNNNNNNNNNNNNNNNNNNNNNNNNNNNNNNNNNNNNNNNNNNNNNNNNNNNNNNNNNNNNNNNNNNNNNNNNNNNNNNNNNNNNNNNNNNNNNNNNNNNNNNNNNNNNNNNNNNNNNNNNNNNNNNNNNNNNNNNNNNNNNNNNNNNNNNNNNNNNNNNNNNNNNNNNNNNNNNNNNNNNNNNNNNNNNNNNNNNNNNNNNNNNNNNNNNNAAUUUGAAAUAACUCAAAAGUGAGUUAUUUGAAAUACUACAGAUUUUGUGUUGGAUGCCGGUAUUUUGACCCAAAUAACACAAAACUAGUUAUUUCGGCCAAAAUACCUCACCCACAUAUCUCAUCCAAACGACUCAUAAGUAAAUUACAAUACAUUGUUGUAUAUACUGUAACAUUAAAUUAGGUGAUUGAUUGUAAACACUUAUGUUCUCUUAGUUUAUUAAAAUUGAACCAUAUAAUUAGAUUUUGAAAAGAUACAAAUUAUAUGUGCCCGGCCAAAAUGGAUAAGAUGCUAGUCAAUAUGAUGAAUUUUCAUACAUGCACAUAAAUAAAUAAUUAACAAGGCCAAUACUUUUAGAAGGAAACAACGAAAUGUAUGUUAUGCUUGUCCAACACUGCUUGGUUCACCAACUGAGGUUGAUGAAUUAUUACAAGUAGGACACAGGUUUUAGGUGUUACCUCAAUUGCUGAGCCAAUCGCCUGAAUAAUGCGGUCAAAAAUACUAGUCCUUUCAACUUCAAACGAUCUCCACUGAAGAAGACAUUUGUAUAUCAGAGAAGCAACAACAGGUCUGCCGCCAGAGAAUCCAAGAUCUUGAGAUACACAUUUGAGUAGCAGGUCUUGUAUUUCCUGCAGGCCAAAGCAUCAAAGGUAACAUAAAUAGCAAGCUACAACGACAGCGUAAAAUUUUCCAGGAAAAUGUAAACCCAGAUUCCUUAGAAUAGGCAUUAUUAAGAAAAAAAAGUUACGUGCUGCUUUUCAUUAAGAGACUUCUGGGGCUUGUCCUCAUUUUCAGCCUCCCGUGUGCCCGGCAAAGCCAGUAUUGAAUCCUACAAGGGUCAGAAAAUCGAGACAACAGUUUCAACCUACUACAUAUCAACAUAUAGGAGGGGUGGGUCCGUGGAGAAUACAUGCCAUCAAUAAGGCAUAAAACACGUACCGGUGUUCUCCUUGCUUCUGAAUGUGGGAUACUUCCAUUCUCUGGGGUUCUCUGUAAUUAAAAGAAACAAUCAGCUCUAUCUACAUGCAUUUUAUCUCAGGUAUUAUCCAAACGAAAGCCAUUUUUACUUGAAUGAUUGUAGUCUUUGGUCUAAUAGCCAAAGCUUUUGCAGUUGGUGAUAUAGCAAGUGCUUGUUGGCGAAGAACUUGAUUCUCUGACUCUAAGUUGGAUACUUUCUCUUCAAAUCUGGCAGUAAGAUCAGCACAGCGAUUAGAUUGAUAAUCAUAACACACCCAUCACAACAGGCAUAAUGUACAGGGUCGACUGAAAAAUUUAGGGAUCGGACAACUGUCGCAAACCUUUGAGCUGAAUCCUGAAGUUGAUCCACCUUCUUUUCUGAAUCUUGGAGCUUCUUACUAAGCUGUUCACUCCGAGACUGGGCGGCUGUGCAUGCUUGUUUGGCCUCUUCUGCUUCUCGUCUUUGAGAGACUAGUAAGGCCUAAGGAAAACAAUGUUUCAUCAAUUUGUGGUUCUUCCUUGAAACUUCUACCUUGGUUGCAAAUGUUAAUAAAGUAAUCAACCCUUUCAUUAGUCUUGACAUGGAAUUAAUUAUCUCAUUAUGAUUUGAUGAAACCAGAGAGAUGGAUACAAUCUAGAAAAUGCAAACUGCAAGCAGAUCAACAUCACUACACCAUAAUACGUUACCUCCAAGUUUUCAACUUUAGCAGUUAAAAAGUGGACUUUCUCUGUGUCUUCAACUAUAACAGGGGUUUCCUUAAUAACUGGAGGUGCUUCUCGAAUAGCUUUUUGUGCUGCCUCCUGUUCCUUAAAAACCAAAGCCUUGGCCUCUUCAACUCGUGAAUGCAUAACUUUUAGUGCAUCUUGAAGCUUGGCAACUUCUUGAGAUUUAGCAUCCUCGAGAUCAGUCUAUGUUUGAGUGCAGAAUAAUCAGCUAUGUUGAAACUGGAGACUAGAGACCAAUUAAGUAUUAAUUUAACAACGGCAGGCAGUACCCUCAGUCGUUUUUCCAAUUGAAGGCGCCACGUAAGUUCUUCAACACGCUUUUCCAACUUAUCCUUUGCUUCUUUAAGAGCUCCAGUGUCUCUAGCAGCCUAAAUACAAUCAUAUGAAUACUAAGCACAUAUUUUCCCUCUCAAUGAUACCAUGUACAUGCUGACAACCAUCAACGUACCAUUUUUAGCAUUCUGAGCUCUCUUCUAGCAACUCUGCAUCUCCACCCACAUUGUGUAGCAAUUGUAGCCUUCUUAAGAUGUCUAUAAUAGGAACGAGCUUGAUAGCUACGCCAGUCAGCCUGAAAACCAGUUAAGGAAAAUAACAACGAUACUCCAAUUUGACAUAAUAGUAACACCCUACUUCAGAAGAUUGAACAGACAUAGAAGAUAUGACUAUACCUGAAUUACAGUGGCAGCUUUAGUUUGUUUUCUGAACCUGAACUCAUUGCGUGCAGCCAUUGCCCUUAAUCCAGUCUGCAAUGUGAUUGCAGAUGAUCGUUUCAUUAAGUAAGAUUUUCUGGCAACAAAGAGACGGAAAUUUUUCUGAAUCUUUACAGAAGCUGCUUCCCUCCUCAAAUGCUCGAACACUUUGCGGGCCUUGUUACCUAAGACAUGAAGGAUAAAGAAAUGUUAAGGGGGGAAAUGCUAAAAGCUUUCCAAUUUUAUGAACAAACAACCUGCCACUUGACUAAUACUCUUUUCACUGUCACAAAAGGAGCCCUAGUUUCUGUCUACUAAGUUGUUGUUCAAUCAGUUCAUGUGUGCUGUUUAGCAUUACAUGAAUUCUGCAAUCUCACGGUUAUAGAGGACCAAACAGUCUGCUUUCUAAUCAUGGUAAAACCAUUUCUCAAAAUAAAAAAAUCAUGGCAAAGCAUCAAUGUGGCAUCUACUCAUACAUCAGCAGGACAAAUAACUUACAGGAACCAUCGCUUGCUAAUUGAAGUGAAGGGAAUAAUAUCAAUCACUCAACAUAGUCUCCUAAAUCACCUCGUAUAUAAGACUGAAGCUCCAUAGCUUCUUUUCUCAAAGAAAUGAACUCCCUGCGAGCAAAAUGAGUGUGGAUUUGUCGCUGGAUGAUUCUGGCUGCAUUUCCAAGUACCUCUGCUCUCCGAGCAUCCAACUCAGCCAUCUGACCUGCUCUCAAGAAUACCUUUGUCUUGCCUAUCUGCCAAAUGUGAGUUGCAUGUGAGUUUAUGCUUCUAAGUAUGCUGAUUUGAUGUUUUUUAUUAUUAAUUGAAUUUGAUUUUUAACAGCCUACACUAGUGUACAGAGACAAGUCUCAAUAUGCAUCGCCACCACAGCACAUGUUAACUCCUUACACUAAAAAAGGAGAACAUGGUUCCCAGCAACACAAUGUAGGAAAAUCACUAGAGAUAGAGGGGCUGGAAAAGGAGCACAAAUGUUGUAAGACCAUAAAAGUGAAAGUUACAUCACCUGGUAUCCUUUCAGUCCCUUUUUAUCGAGAAUCAGUUGGCAUGCAACCUUAUCAUCAUAACUGCAAGAAAAGAAGAAAAGAACUUAGAAAGUAAUGUUUCCUAUCAUCAAUCCAAACAACGAAACUGCAAAAAAGGCAAAAGAAUUAGAAAGUAUGUUGCAUAACAUCAAUUUAAACAACAAAACAAAGCAGCCAAGCAGAAUCCGUUUCAGAUUUUAUCAUACAUUAACAAGGAAGAAUAUAAUAGGAACAUACUUUCCAUCUAAGACUUCUGGAGCCAGAAGACCAAAACGAUUAAGAAACUCAUAAAAGGUUCGCCUUGUAGGGUAUCCAGCACAGCUAAUCCUAAUUGCCUCAAGAACACCCUGUUUUACAAUGUACGAAAAUGAACAACUUAGUAGAAAGCAUGAAAGAUACAACAGAUAGAUUCCGGCGAAAAAGGAAGUAAAUUUCUACAGGUAAAACAAUUAAAGAUGUUUCAGUUUAGUACUGACCCCACAACGUAACUGGUGAAUGAUAUUGACGCUCUCAAAAAUGGCAGGCUUCAGAACAUUAUUAGGCUUCACACAUCUAAUGUAGUGGGGUUCCGUCACACUCAAGGUCUCCAUCAGAGAUUGAAGUUGUAGCUGGUACCAGAAUAAUAACAUGAACUCAAAUAAUUUUCCGCAACAGAUAAUAACCAUAAUUUUCCGCAACAGAUAAUAAACGCAUAUGAUUAAAAUACAGGAAAUAUAAUAAACAGAACGUAGAUUUAUGAAGGAACAAAAACAGACAGCCAAAGGGUGUUGCUCUUGAAGCACAAGUGCCAUGUGAAUGUAAACAUGAGAAUGAAAAGGAACAAAAUAUGUAUCUAUUACCUUGAACCGAGAACCAAUGGAAGAAAACUUAGAUGACUUCAAUGAUUCUUCUUUAAGUGUAGGGAACAAUCCCACAACAAAGUGGCAUUGAGAAGCAGUCAUCAGAGCUUGAUGUUCAGCUAUAACAUAAUCCUUAUUUUUAUCCAAAAACUGAUUGGCUUGAUAAUUCACCUUCAAACACGCAAAAUUAUAGGAAACGAUGAAAAAUUCAGCAACCGUUUGAUUUGAUGGCAAUUUUUUUGACUUAUUUCAGAUGACAGUAAAAUGAUUCUACCUCCCCUGCAUAGUGCAAGAUAGUGAAAUCUGUACAUGAGAGCUUUGGUUUGAUAAAACGCUUGUUGUUUUUAAAUGUCUGAUACAGCUUCUGAGCAAAAGUUUCAUGGGUGGACUUUGGAAACAUGCUGCAAAGACAUUCAUAAAGUCUGAAUGGAGUCCUCAAACAUAGUGGGGACGGCAGGAUCCAAAACUUAAAAGACCUCUAUUUGAGCAUGUUGAAAACUACAGCGUACCAGGCUUCAUCUAGAAGAGAAAUAAUUCCUCCAGGUUUCUGCAAAUAGCCAAAAAAUCAGUUAAGUGCAUUACUCGGGUCUGAUAAUUAGAGUGACUCACUAAGAUAAGAUAUCUUAUCUGUUAACCAUUUGUAAGCUUUUAGUUAAUUAACAGCAUGUCACAAGUGGCUCAUGCCGAGAAAUGAAAAUUUGCGGGUAAAUAGUGUCUCGCUACAGAAAGAAUGCUGCAGAAGUGUUAAGACCUUCUCAAUCAGAUCCAAAACAUCCUGAUUAUCGACAAACUCUAUGUAACUCCAGUUAAUCUCCUCUUUGGUAUACUCUUCCUGCUCCAUUUUGAACACAUGCUGCACUUACAAGCAAUUGAGUAAAACAUAUUCGAAGGGUAAACCUGAAUGCAUAGGUAGGUGAAGCGAUCCCACCUGAUUGAAAUGCUGCUGUAAUUUUUCAUUGGUGAAAUUGAUGCAGAAUUGCUCAAAACUGUUUCACAGUCACAAACAUAAAAACAUAAGGCAAACAACAAACAGUUUACUUGGUCUAUCUUUUGUCUAUAUCAGCAUGACAUCAGAAAUCUGACAACUGAUUGUUUUCAGUUUCGCACAUGACUAGAUAAACAUUCAGACACUUGUAGGACUUCCUGAUGGUAGCUCUAAAUUGCAUCAAUCCAAAUGGGAGAAAAAUAUGUUUCACAAGGAGCAUGGUCCCAUGAACAGAGUUCCACAUAUUUACCAAGUGUUGUAUGCAACAUACAAAAGGGUACAAGAGCACAUACCAAUCCAACAGAGAGUAAUAGAGUACAGAAAUCUGCACCAAAUAACAACCAGACAAUGGUAAUGACUUGCCUGUUGCACUUAAAGCUUUCAAAACCAUAUAUAUCUAGAACCCCAAUUAUUGAUUUUGAUUCUGGGUCCUGCCCAAUUGAAACGUUUAACUUUUCUACAAUCCUGGCAAACAAUUGAGAGCAACAAUUAGUAAAUUAUCACCAUGGCAGCAAGAAAUUCAUUUGUCUAAUUAGAACAUCAUCAGAAGUUCAAGAAAAAUGUAUACCAAUCAAAAAGACGAGAGUAUAGAGUCUUAGCCAAAGCAUCUCUACUACCGAGAGCAUUCUCGGGAUCAAGUGUUCUUGUGAUAAUUUCUUCAGGUGUAACCAUUACACGUUGAAUAAGGGCAUCUUCCAAGCUCUUUGGAUCACACCUAAGUAUGAGACAGGUUAAGAGUGAUGCAGGAGUAGAGUAUAUAACUAUGUUUUAAAAUAUAUGGGCAUUUCAACUGGUCAUUUGAAGGAUAAAAGAACCCCACCUGAGGAGCUCUGAAGUUGUAUCAAGAUGAAAUCGGGAUUUAUCAUCCUUAAGCUUUGAUGAAUCAACCUCUGCUCCUUUAGCAAAUUCAAUAUUUCCAAGGUGAAGAAUUGCUGCAACGACCCUAAAAAUUGCUUCCUAACAGCAUUGCAGACUGUUACAAUCUAAUUUGAGUAUUUGACUGUGUUUCACGAAAUAAGAAAUCGAUCAGAUUUUAGAGACAAACCUGUUCUUCUUCACUAAUCCCAACUAUAUCCAUUGCUCUUCUGGUUUCGAGGUACUCAUGGGCAUCAUUUAUCCCAUCCAGCUCAUAACAACUUGAUUGAUUCAAAUAAUGGAAAAAUUUUGGGCUCCCCAACUUGUAUUUUUCUUUAACCUAUAGGCAGAAACAGAAUCUUGUAAGGUACUUACAGGAUGAAUACAUUGCUUGGUAUCAAAAGCACAAAGACCAAUUGUUGAAUUACAGCAAUAAUUAGGAUAUGAUUAGGCAUAGAGAUUAGAGUAAGCUAGCUGUCCUAGUUUAUCUAUCUAGCCUGAUUCGAUGCAGUAUAUUCGUAGUAAGUAGUAGGUAGAGUAAUCCCUGAUUUGUAGGGAUUAUCAUAAGGUGAUUCUGCACCCUAAUGGUGCAGACCUUGUAUAUAUGUAUAAUUGGAAACACAUAAAUAAUAUCAUCAUACCAGAAUCAUCUUUAUUCUGAAUUUCUACAUGGUAUCAGAGCGAGGGUACAUCCACUAGAUCUAAGCCCCGUUCGUUCUUCCUCCCGUUCUUUCUUCUUCUAGACUCCUAUCUCUGUCUCUAACUCUCGUCCUCACGGCAUGGCCAACACCAACGCUGAAACCCCUCGAACCGGCAGCUCCCCGCCGCCCCGCCCCCCCCCCCCCACAGAAACACCACCCCCGCCGCNNNNNNNNNNNNNNNNNNNNNNNNNNNNACUCCAGCAGCACGAUCAGAAUCUGUCCUAGGCUGCAUCACGAAUCACAGGCUAAACGGAGACAACUACCAACAGUGGUCGUCAUCCAUUCUGAAAUUCAUCUCAGGGAAGGGGAAGAGAGGAUACCUGACUGGAAAGACAAAACAGCCAGCAGAAGAUGAUCCGGAAUUCGCCAACUGGGACAUUGAGGACAAUAUGGUCCAGUCAUGGCUCCUGAACUCAAUGACCACGUCCAUUGGUGAAAAGUUCCUUCUCCAUCAAACUGCUCAUGAGAUCUGGGAUGGAGCUAGACACACAUACACCAAUCAGACCAACAAAGCUGAAGCCUUUGAAGUGGAGAUGCGCCUCCAUGAUCUCAAGCAAGGGGAUAAAUCAGUCACUCAGUACUAUGACGAAAUGAUACAAGGGGAUAAAUCAGUCACUCAGUACUAUGACGAACUGAGCAAAUGCUGGCUGCAGCAGGACCUGUACGAUGUCCAUCUGUGGAAGUGUACAGACGAUGCAGAGCUCUAUCGGCAGAUUCUCCAGACAAAACGGACUAUCCGUUUCCUCCUUGGUCUAAAUCAGGUCCUAGAUGAGGGCAAGGGUAGGAUUAUGGGCCGUCUCCCUCUUCCUUUAGUCAGGGAGGCGUUUCCUGAAAUCAAAUGGGAAGAGAGCAGAAGAAAGCUCAUGAUCCCUGACUCCAAGAGCACUCCAGUGGAAGGAUCUGCCUUGCCACUCAUUACAUUGGAAACCAAGAAAAUGCUUACACCAAGUCUGGAAAGCUACGUCCUCAGUAGACUCACUACAACAUGUGGAAUUACAACAUAUGAUUAUGUAGUAUUAGGCGUAGGAUUAGCAGAAUAAUAUCUAGCCUAAUUAGUAGCAGAAUAAUAUAGUAAGAUUGUAGGUAGGGUAAUCCCUGAUUUGUGGGGAUUACCAAGAGUCGAUUCUGCUCCCUAAUGGAGCAGUGUCUGUAUAUAUAUACCGAUAUCAAACUGGAAUAAUAACAUACCAGAAUUCCUAAGCAUUCUGGAUCUCUUUACAACAAGAUGGGACACACGAAGGAGACGUGUUGGAAGCUACAUGGGAAGCCUGCCGACUGAAAACCUAAGGCAGAAAGGGAGGCUCAUGCACAGGCUGCUGCAACUGAGCAAGCACAACAGAUUGGUCAGAUCACCAGAGAACAACUUGAGAUCCUCCAGCAGAUAAUGGCUCAAUACACUACUAAGAAGGCAUCUGCAGGUCCCUCUGACACUCACCACAGCCUGUUUGCCAGCCAAGGUAUUAAAUCUGCUGCUUUCCUUACUCUAAAUCAGUUCAAACAACACUGGAUAUUGGAUUCAGGUGCUACUGAACACAUGACUGGUUUCAGACAGCUACUCCACAAUAUCCAGGCUCAUGUACGGCAAGCAGGAGUUCGUAUUGCUGAUGGAACCAUAGCUCUGGUUGAAGGAAUUGGGACAGCCUACCUGACCCCUAAUCAGGCUGUGUUCCCUGUCCUAUAUGUUCCAAAACUGAAUUGUAACUUGAUUUCUGUUAGUCAAAUUACACAAGACCUAAACUGUCGACUAACUUGUGACCCAUCACAAUGUGUAUUGCAGGAGGUGGGAUCUCACAGGAUGAUUGGCAGGUUUGAACUGUGUGAUAGACUGUACCUUCUAAGGACAAUAAGCGGAUUAAGACCAGGAGGAGAGGGUUCCAAGUCAGUUCAUUUGAGUUCUAAGUCAAGCUAGUUAGAAUGUCCUGUCAUGAUGUGGCAUUACCGGUUAGGCCACUCUAGUUUUUCUUAUCUCAAAAAACUGUUUCCCAAGCUUUUUAUCAAUAAAAAUCCAAGUUCUUUCUAUUGUGAGGUCUGUCAACUUGCCAAGCAAACAAGGGUUGUCUAUCGUAGUCUACCAUACAAGCGAACACAUCCUUUUUCAAUCAUACACAGCGACAUUUGGGGCCCAUGUUCUGUCAAAACAGUUAGUGGGUUUCGAUGGUUCAUCACCUUCAUUGAUGAUCACACCCGCUUAACAUGGACAUANNNNNNNNNNNNNNNNNNNNNNNNNNNNNNNNNNNNNNNNNNNNNNNNNNNNNNNNNNNNNNNNNNNNNNNNNNNNNNNNNNNNNNNNNNNNNNNNNNNNNNNNNNNNNNNNNNNNNNNNNNNNNNNNNNNNNNNNNNNNNNNNNNNNNNNNNNNNCACACCCUGCCAAUGGGAUUGCUCACAGUAGCUCUUGCCCUUAUACUCCUCAGCAAAACGGGAUUGCUGAGCGCAAAAACCGUCACUUGCUGGAAGUUGCAAGAGCAUCACUGUUUGCUGCUAAGGCUCCAAAGACUUUGUGGGGUGAUGCUGUUCUUACAGCAACGCAUCUUAUCAACCGACUCCCAAAUCGAAGCCUACGUUUUAAAACUCCUCGUAGUGUUCUGCUCAAAGUUUUCCCUCAUAGUCAUGCUCUAUCAUCCGACCUUCCUCUUAGGAUAUUUGGAUGUACAGUUUUUGUCCAUUUAGAUUCAUCUCUUCGUACUAAACUCGAUCCUAGAGCAGUCAAGUGUGUCUUUCUUGGAUAAUCGUCUCAUUAUAGGGGUUUCUCCAAGUAACCACAAAGUCUAUCAUUCCAAAAAUGUCACGUUCUUUGAACAUCGUCCAUUCUACUCCCACUGUCAGCCUCAGGGGGAGAAUUCUACUGGUGAGUCCAUGGGUGUUGAGUCCUCCAUUGGUAGUAUUAUUACUCUAGAAUCUCCGGUUGUCCUAGAGCCUCCUAUGGUAGUCCAAACCUCUCCCACGGAAUAAAGCAGCCAAAUCCCUCCUCCUCUGGUCUAUCAGCGUAGGAAGAAGAUUGCAGGAAACACACAUGCUCAGCCUGACUAGGAAUUUGAUGAGAACACAGCCCAGCCUGACCAGGAAUUUGAUGAGACCUCAACCUCCCAAGAAAGCAAGUCAGAACAAAUGGACCCGGGGGUUGAACAUGGUGAUGUUGUCAGGAGUGGUGACCAAGCAGAGGAAACUCAGGCUGCGAGUACAGAGGAGACUCAGGUUGAUGAUACAGUCUACCUUCCAAUUGCUCACAGGAAAGGAACCAGAUCGUGUACAACACAUCCUAUUGAGAGAUGGGUCUCCUAUGGUAAUCUAAGCCAGAAGUACAAGGCAUUUGUGGGGACUCUCGACAACACACAGAUUCCUCACUCCAUUGAAGAAACUAUGAGUAUACCUCACUGGAGGGCAGCGGUGUUGGAAGAGAUAAAUGCACUUCUGAAGAAUCAGGCAUGGGAUACAGUACGGUUACCAGCAGGAAAAUCCACAGUCGAUUGCAAGUGGAUAUUCACAAUGAAGUAUUUAUUUCAAGUGGAUAUUCACAGUAAAGUAUACUUCAGAAGGGAAGAUUGAGAGAUAUAAGACUCGCCUCGUAGCCAGAGGAUUCACACAGUGUUAUGGAGUGGACUACGAGAAGACAUUUGCUCCGGUAGCCAAGCUUAAAACUGUGAGAGUUCUCCUAAGCAUUGCAGUAAAUCCAGAUUGGUCUCUCAACCAACUAGAUGUGAAGAAUGCUUUCCUAAACGGAGAUCUAAGUGAGGAGGUGUAUAUGAAUGUCCCGGCAGGCUUCACUACUGAACCAGGAAUGGUGUGUAGACUGAAGAAGGCAUUAUAUGGCCUAAAGCAGUCACCACGGGCAUGGUUUGAGAGGUUCUCUCAGUCGGUGAAAGGAUACGGGUAUUAUCAGUGUCAAACUGAUCAUACUAUGUUUAUAAAACAAAAUCAGGAAGGAAGAAAGGCCAUUCUCNNNNNNNNNNNNNNNNNNNNNNNNNNNNNNNNNNNNNNUGCAAACCUGCGAGCACACCAAUGGAGCACAAUCUGAAGUUUGCUCUUGGCCAAGAAGUAGCACCAGUAGAGAGGGGGAAUUACCAGAAAUUGGUAGGAAAGCUAAUAUACUUAGCACACACUCAUCCAGACAUUUUGUUUCCAGUGAGCAUUGUGAGCCAACAUAUGCACAAUCCAAAUGAAGAGCAUAUGGAGGCAGUAAUGAGGAUUUUAAGAUACCUAAAGGGUACACCAGGUGUUGGACUGCUGAUCCAAAAACACGCUGGACGCAGAAUUUCUAUCUAUACGGAUGCGACUUGAGCUAGAGACCUUACGGGUCGAAGAUCAACCUCAACGUAUUGCACCUAUAUGUGGGGGAACUUAGUGACCUGGCGGAGUAAGAAACAAACUGUCGUCUCAAGAAGCAAUGCUGAAGCAGAGUGCAUGGCACUGGCAGACGGCAUUUGUGAAGGAAUUUGGUUAAGGCGCAUUUUAAAGGAACUCAAGAUGGAGAAUGAGAGUCCUGUUAGAGUGCUGUGCGAUAGUCAGGCAACAUUAAGCAUCGUGAGGAAUCCAGUUCAUCAUGACCGUACUAAACAUGUUGAACUGGAUCGUUACUUCAUUUCUGAGAAAGUAAAUAACAAGGAAUUCGAGAUGGAGUACGUUCCAUCUAAGCAGCAGAUCGCAGAUAUUCUUACUAAGGCUCUACCUAGAGAUAUGUUUGAUGAUUACAAGGCAAGUUUGGCCUCCAUAACAUCUACAACCAAACUUGAGAGGGAGUGUUGAAUUACAGCAAUAAUUAGGAUAUGAUUAGGCGUAGAGAUUAGAGUAAGCUAGCUGUCUUAGUUUAUCUAUCUAGCCUGAUUUGAUGCAGUAUAUUCGUAGUAAGUAGUAAGUAGAGUAAUCCCUGAUUUGUAGGGAUUAUCAUAAGGUGAUUCUGCACCCUAAUGAUGCAGACCUUGUAUAUAUGUAUAACGUGAAACACAGAAAUAAUAUCAUCAUACCAGAAUCAUUCCUAUUCUAGAAUUCUACACCAAUGACAAGGAAGAGAAGCAAAAGAGAAAGCUUUACCUCAGCUGGUGCUGCACAUAGAAGAUAAAAGCAAUGAUAGUUUCUUUCUGGAUCAGAAAUUUGGCACACCCGAGAUCUCUCAAGCAGAUAAGUCCUGAUCGCAGCACCAGAUAUUCUGCCGCUCUUGUCGAAUUGGAUCUCCACAAACUUUCCAAACCGACUAUAUUAUGAACCACAAUAAAAUUAAAGGCAAUGAAGAUAGUGAAGGUAGAACAUUGAUGCUCAGGACAUCAAUAAUGAGAGUCACGUCAUUCCUUUUAUAAAGCUAUGAAGCUUUACCUUGAGUUAUUGUUGCGAACAGUUUUGGCAUUACCAAAUGCUUCAAGGACAGGAUUUGACUGCAUUUAACGCCAAAAAAACAUUACUAUUCAGGGAGUAACAGCAAUAUCAAAGACGAAGGAAAGUAAAUGUUAUUUGACACACAGAAAAAGACUAUGUUUACCUCCAGAACUUGUUGUUCAACUGUCCUUCCUUCUACUCCAGAUCGCCCUCCUAAGAAGGCAAGAUAUCUCAUGAGCAUCUUUGUAGUCUCAGUUUUGCCGGCACCACUUUCACCACUAACCAGGAUUGAAUUACUUUUUCCGUCAUUAAUCAUUGCCCUGUUUGCUUCAAUCUCAGGACAUCAGUAAGAACAAGUAAAGAUUACAAAGACGCAGUGCCAUAAGAAAACUAACACCAACCUGUAUGCAGCAUCUGCCACUGCAAAGACAUGAGGACUUAGCUCCCCAAAUGCAGCACCUUUAUACUGUUCCAUCAUGUGAGUAUCAUAGAGAUGGGGUAAUCUUUGAAACGGAUUGACAGCAAUUAGGAUAUUUCCGGUGUAUGUCUGAGAAGGUAAUGCACAAACAUUAAAGUUGGUACUCAUAUAUCAAUUCAAACAAGUCUCUCUGUAUAUAAAAUAGGGCGAUAAUAGCCAACUCACAUAGAUUUCAUUAAGUUCAUAUCUAGUAGCCAGAUUUUGCAGAACUCCAGGUUCGUGUAAAUAUGAAAGCUUGGUCAUGUCAUCCACGCCCCCAGGUGGGGCUUCAGUGUCCUUGGGAAAUACUUUUGAUAUACUUGUAACCACCUGUAGAAGCCAUCGUUUACACAGUUCAAAUUAGAAAGAGCAGUCAGUCUGCAGAGGAAGUUAAGACCAAGAAGAUUGAGAAUUUACAUUUUUCCCAUUCGUAGUUUGUACAUGGACGUCUUUGCCACUUAUCCUAGUAACUUCACCAUCAAUCCAUGCCAACUUGGGAUCUUCAAUCCACACAUGAGAACCAACAAUUAUGUUGUCUGGUGCAGCCUGAAAAAUGAGAAUUUUGCUAAAAAUAGUGGAAAUAUAAUUGUUUGAUCCAAGUCUCCAAAUAUGAUUUCAGCAUUAGAUGGGAAAGGAUUACAAAAUGCAAAUUUCCUCAGGAAUGUAGAUUGCGUACACAAACGUGACACAAAUAAAAUGCAGAAUACUCAUUUUAUGGUCAGAGUUCACAUCUAAAAAUAGCCCAAAGCUCAUUUGCCGAUACAAACUCAUCUUUCUGACAUAAACCUUGAAACCUGACACUCUGAAAGAAUUGCCAAGGAAAACUAACCAGUUGCCAAAUGUCAAAAUGCCCACAAAGCAACUAACUAAAGAUACUUGCAGAAUAUCGCAGUUGCAAUGGAGAAGUCCGAUGUAGUCAAUCAAAAUUCAAACGGAAUUCAAAAGCUAAUACAGCAAAACCCAAAAAACAAGGAAGCUUCAUACCACAACUAAAGUACAAAAGGAAUCACGAAAUGAAGCCUUAGAACGCCAUAAUCAACAUCUCAAAGAAUCAAACAGUAGCAGAUUAAUAAGAAGAGGAGAGAGGAAGAAGCUAGUAUAAACAAUAAAUUGAAAGACUCCAGCUUUUCAGCCCGGAAUUACCAUUCGAUGACACCAAAGCAACAGAUCCUUGGGCUAACACAAUCCUCCAACACUCAUGAAACCGAAAGAAAACAAACCCAGUUCUUCAAAUGUCGAAAAGGGAAGCAAUCAAUCCAAUAAUACACAAGAAGUAUCAAAUCCUCAGCCAAACCGAAAGCAACCCCACAACUUUUUUCUCCCUUUCUUUCUUUCUUGUCUCUCUCUCCCUGAAAGUUUCAAAUGAACCUGAAACGUAUAUACCACCAACGACUCCUAAACUGUAAUGCGAGACUGCAGUCUUCUAUGAAUCUCUCUCUAUUUUGAAAAAAGGAAGCAACUUUGGAGGAAAACCAUUCCUGAUUGUGUGUGCCUCUCUCUCUCCCUCAAAUUUUUUAUGAGUUUGCCGGUGUUUGUUUCUCUCUCUGAAAAGUUUGAAGUUGUUUCGAGUUUUGGGUUCUGGAUUUUGUUUGGGUCGGAUUGUCCCCACAAACAACAAACGUCUGUUUCUUCUUUGGGUUUCAACUCGUUAAAAAUAGAGGAGAAUUGAGAUUACUGCUGCAAAUGAGUCUUUAUGGUCUAAUUAGGAAGGAGUUUUAAGUUUCCUCUUGCGAGUUUAGGCUAUUUGCAUAUAAACCCCCUUGCCUUGCUGGCCCCAUCUCUCCAUCAUACCUGUUUUCAAAUGUUUUCAUAACGGUAUUGAGUACAAGCCAGGUAAGAAAUUUGAUGAUUUAAUCGCUGUUUAGUAUCAGUUCAAUUGUUUAUUAAUAUUAAAUAAAAAAAUAAAAUACCGUACGGGAUAUAUUAGUAAUAAAACCGGAUUAUACUUGCAAUACAUAGAGUUAAAUUUCACUAUUAUAUGGCUAGCCAUAUAUCGGACAAUAAUAUUAGAUUUACAAAAUAUACUAAUGUUGACAAUACACUUGAACUAUCACCAGGUCAACUUGUUAAUUCUAAGUUCACUACACCCAAAAUUACAAGUAUUCCACUAACAUUAAUGGACCUCUGAAUAUAAAGUUGACAGUUCAAAUUUCACAAUCUCAACUUGGAAAUUCAAGGUUCACUAUAUACAUACACUCCCCAAAUUAGAAGUUCUUCACUAAUAUCAAGUGAUUCCAAAUGUGUUAUGGUCAACGAGAGUAGAUCCACUCAAUCCAAGGCCAAAGUCGAUGUCCACGGAUGUCUCACCACCUUUAUCUCCAACAAGAAUCUCCAGCAAGAAUCUCCAGCUAGAGUUUUGGUUGCUCGUCGAGAUUUAUGAUAUCCCAAAGCUUUUAAAUAGGCUCAAUACCCAAAUCUAACCGAAAGUUCCAAAAUUUUAACAAAUUUAACCCGAAUUAUUUUAAAACCGGAAUCUGUCAUUAACGGUCUUCCAUCACAUUUCCCGUCUACGUCGUCCGUGUAUUUGAACGGAAGUUAAGGGGCCUUGUGCACUGAGAAACGUGGACGUCCAGUCAGAAAUUAGAACCCACUUGACUGUGAGAAAUUAAAAUUCACUCCAUUUCCCUUGCUUCCAAACUCAAUCGUCGCUUUACUUUCCUUCCAUUCAAACAUGAACCCCGAUGAGAGAUUAUAUGAUUCAUCGAGGUUUGCAUUCUCAGUGAUGGUAUCAACGAUAGUAGGAACACAUGACAAAGAGACGGGAGGAACGAUAACCAACAAGUAUCAACCAGCUCUAACGGUUUAGGGUAACUGAAGAAGGAGGUUUUGUGGUUUCUGUUGGAGGUGCUUAGGGUUGUGAAGAAGGAGGGUUUGUGGUUUCUGUUGAAUGGCCCUAUCGGCAGUAGCUUUUGUUGGUAUGGAGGCGAGAAGGACUUGUGUGGUGUGGGUGAAUGAAUAUAUAGGGUUUCAAUCUUUCUGGGACCACAAGGUGAAGUAACUCUCCUUUACCGAAUCUUUUUAUAUGUACGUUUUAAUUAAAGGGUGACAUUGGAAAGGGUUGGAGGUCAACAUCGUCGAACAUUUUGAGAUUCACAAUGGUAUUGCCAGCUUGUGGUUGACAGCUUAUAGGUGGGAGUUAUUAAUUAGGGUUUCUUUCUAGAUACAAUUAUUUUUUAAUUCUUGUUUAGGGUUGUUUGGAUUUUUUAUCUUAAAACCUCAAAUUGGCAUGAAGUAUAACGUAAUUACAUGUUUACACAUGAUCUUUUUUUAAUUUCAGAAAUGGCGGAACUAUAAAAACUUUUAAAAUUCAUGGAACGCUAUUACGUUUCAUCUGCUUUUGUAGACAGAACUUGAUUAUUUUGCCACGUUGGAUGCCAGGUCAUUUUAGUUGACCACAAAGUUGAAAUUUUUUAAAGAUAAAAUCCUAAACUACCCAUUCUCAUUCAUCUAGCAACCCUAGCUAAGAUCUAUCAUCGAUAAAUAUUUCUUUUGUUAAUCAAUAGCUUGACAAAUUGUUAAUACGACCCGCAAGAAAUAACAACCAAUGCCGACAACAACCUAUCUUCCUUCAAUGGCUCAAAUGCUACACACUUUUCAUCCCCCAACAUUUGGUAUCCCAUCAUCCCCUAAUCCAAAGAUUAAUCUACUAAGAAAUAAUCUCCACAUCGACACUAGUAACAAAGCUCCAACCCGUCUCCUCUUUUUUCCACCACCACGAUCACCAUAUGCUCCAAACUAUUGUCUUCCAAAGCUUCAGAGUCUCCCUACAACAUAAUAAUAAGUGACUCGGCUAUAAAAUUUAGGGUCUUUUCUCUAAGACAAAGUAGGACAUGGAUCAAAUUGGUCUUCCUCCAUCACUAAUUCGAGUCGAUUCCCUCAUUACUUGUUGGCUAUAGUUUCUCAUCGACAAGGCUAUGCAAGAAUCCAUCCGUAUUUUGUCCCAAUUUCAUCAUUUUCUUCUCCACGCCUCUGUAAUCCAACGCACCAAAAAAUCAAUUUGUAAUCAUUGAUAUUAGAGCUUUCAUGCAAAGCCUCCAUCUCCUUGAUUAUGUCUUGAAACUCCUUGGCUACUUCAUCCACCACGUCCUCCUCGACAUAGUACCUUUUUCCGACAAUCAUCCUCAUCACCGUGUUGGAAGUCAAAUCCGGGAGUUUCUCUAUCUAAUAUUAGAUUGCUUAACAUCAAUAUCAGAAUUUUUACUAUUCGGUUCGAUUUGAACUAAGAGUGGAACAAAAUAGAAGUAUAAAAAGCUAAUUUCAUUUUCAUUCUCCCUCCUUUUCCCGUUCUAUUCUCCUUUAUCUUAGACAACCAAGUGGUGGCAUAGUGUGAAGAAUCAUAGACGUUAAUUAGGUUAGUCCAUAGUCGUCCUCAACCUCCUAGUGUAUUUGCAAUACAUGUUAUACUUGUCGCGACGUUCCUCGAGGUCUCUAUGUUGUAUUACUUUGGGUCGAGGGUUUCAUUUCAUUUUGCUUAUAGUGGUAAUUAUGCGGGUUCCUUCAUCAAUAACUAAUAGGAUGAUUGCUUGUGCUAGGAUUUGUAGUGAUUAUUUAUCCCUACCUGCAUGUUUUUUGAGUGAAUAUUAGCUUGUUCGUGCUUCAUUCCCGUGUGGUUUUUGUUUCGUCAUUAUGUGUCUAGACCCAUUCACUUGGACCAUUUCGGUCCAUUUGAGGUGUUUCUUUGUAGUAUUUGUUAUCUACAUGUAAUUUGGCAAUAUGUGGUUUGGCUAUGAGGCUUUGGAUGCGGAAUAGAGCACAAAUGGAGCUCAAACAGAAGGAUGAAACAAGAAAUGGUGAAGUAGAAGAGUUACACGCCGUGCAUCACUGCACGUCGUGUAGUCUUAAAUUACAAUUCAAGCUGCAUAGAAAAGAUCAAGGAACGUCGUGCAUGGGUGCACGUCGUUCACCGUUAUUAGGGACAUGACCAUUUCCAGUACAGGGGGUGCACGACGUGCACCUCCCGGAUUCUGUAGUUGCCCUAUAAAAGGCGAAUUUGAGGAAAGAGAAAGAAGAUCUUCCCUAGUAUAAUUCCUUUGAUUUUUCCACGACCUACCUUUGAAAAAACACCAUAGUCCCAUCCCUAGGAGUUAGAUUGAAGAUCGGGAUGAGUCCCCAUUGAAGAUUGAAGCUAGGAUUGAAGCUCAAAGAUCAAAAGUGACGAUUGGAGCAAGUACGAUUCAUUGUCUCUUCAUCAAGAUGGUGGUUAGGUCUUAUUGUACGUUCUUUUCGUCUAGAGUCAUGAGUAGCUAAUUCUUUAGAGUUUCUUGAUUGGGAUGUAAGAAUUGAGCCAUGAUACUCUCCCUAAAAGUAUAAGGUCGACGAUUGUUGGAUAAUUAGAUUUGAAUGAAAGAUUGCUUUGAUUAUUGGGUUUUCAACCUUGUUCUUGUUACGAAUUGAAUUAGGUCAAAUCUAUGAAAUCCUCUAUUUGAUCGACUCUUGAAUUCAUAUGAUUAACAAUCUAAGAUAGAACAAAGUUAACGGUUGGGUAAGCCAAUAGCUCGAUUCUACCUUUUGUGCUUCUUUAAGUUUUAAUGGUUAUUCAUCAAAUAAUUGGCGGGCACUCUGGUUUGCACCUAAUGGACCAAGUUGGGUGUAGUUAUCAGUAGCUUAAGUGUUGAUGGACCAAGUUAACACUAAUUCCAAUUACUUGUGAUUUCUUUUAAUUCUUAAAGAGCACCUUAUCACUUUGUAGAACUUCUCCGUGUUCAUUACUUGUUAGCCUAAUUGAGGAUAUUCCAACCUUAAUUGGGAAACUAGUAGUGGUAAUCUACGUGUAUGAUCGUGCCGCAGAUUCAUAAGAGUGACAAGAGGAAUCAUAUUGUUCAAUCCAAAUCCAACGUUGCUCGAUCUGACUACUAUUAGGAAGUUGAGCUUGAUGAAUCAUCCCUUCCAAGAACUUGUUCUCUCCUUCGGAUCGGACCUAAAUUGCUAGUUUAAAUGAGUUAAUAGAAUACUUAGACACCAAAAUCAAUUCGUCCAGUCUAGACCAUGCUGGCGAGUUUGAGUAAAAAGUAUAAUGAGAGGAAUCCUUGGACACAUAAGACACGUGUGUUGUUGAGAUAACUUCACAGUUAUUUUGGCGAUCUAGUUUUUGGCACCAUUGCCAGGGACUCUCUCUCGUUGCUUUGAAAGGAUCUAGUCAGUGCCGCUGUAGGCAUUCGUCUCCAUUUUUUAACUUAUGUUUUCUCUUUAUCUUUGUUGUUUAGCUUGAGUUCCACUUUGGUUUGUUAUUUUUGGAUGUGCAGGAUUUUAGGUGUCGUAUAUGAGACAAUCUAGUUGAAUCCGUGAAUGACGACUCUGGAAUCUACAGAAUAAUCAACCAUCACCUUGAGCUAUGUUUCCUCCUCAUCAACAAGCCAAAGGUCUACCCAUCCUCAACCUAGAGGUUGUCCUACCAUCGCCUUCACCACCUCAUUCAUCACCUCCACUGUCACCACCUCGCUCCUCACCUUCAGCAUCUUCCUCAUCACCAACAGUUUCUUCUCAGUCCAGUUCUUCAAGUGAAGAAGAAGAACUCGAGGAACCAACCAGAAUGGGAGAUCAGCCCCGAACACUUGGGGACUAUGCUAAACCCACAACUGUGGGCACUGGCUCGAGCAUAGUCCCUCCGGCAUUUGACAACCAGAAUUUUGAAGUCAAGACUCCAUAUGUUUAGAUGGUACAACAAAGACCAUAUUCAGACAAUGAUCAUGAGUGCCUGAGUCGGUAUUUGAGGCAUUUUAAUGAGAUUGUAGAGCUCAUGAAGUUCAUGCAGAUGUCAUCCCCAUGAAGCUCUUCUCCUUCUCACUCCAGGGGAAGGCAAAAGCUUGGCUGGAUAAUCAGCCAAUCAAUUCAUUCCUAGAAGAAUUCUUUCCACCAUACAAGACGGAUGCAAUUCGGGGUCAGAUCGGUAAUUUCUAGCAAAGAUAUGGAGAGCUCUACCAUGAGACUUGGGACCGUUUCCAGUCCUUGUUGUAUUCAUGCCCCCAUCACAACAUGGAGGAUUGGACCUUGGCGAACAUCUUGUGCAUGCUCUCGAUCAUGAGAACACGCAAAUGAUCAAUCAAGCUACAUAAGGGGAUUUGAAGUUGCUCACCCCAACAAGGUGUCUUCAGCUAUUCAGGGAAAUGGCUGGGCAGACCAAGAGUUGGGUGCACCAAUAAGCACCAAGGAGCUUACAAGAACCAAGUGCACCAUCAUCGUCGAGCAAGCCACAACAACCUCUCAAAGACAACUCCAACCGGUUCCUCCAUCUUCUAAACUCCAAGGUUAAUGCAUUGGUGCAUCACACGAAUAGCAUGGCCUUGCCUAAGGCACCCAGCAAAGAGGCUGCACCACCUCCAAAACCUCAACCAAGGAAGGCAAUGAUGAUGUACUAUUGUGAGGGUUGUGGACAUGAAGGACAUGAUGUUUCAUCAUGUCAAAUUUUCUUAGAGAAAGGUGCUCCGGAAGAAGAUGUGGAGAAUUUCGAGCAGGUGGAUUAUGUCCACGGGGUCACAACCAGCAAGGUGGGUACAAUCCAGGUGGUUACCAAAAUAAUUAUCGACCGAACCAAGGUGGAUACUACAACUAUCCAUGGAAUAAUAAAGGUUACUAGAACUACCAACAAGGUCUGGGACCUUAAGGACAGGCUCCAAACCAACCACAUGCAGCUCCUCAAAGACCUCAAGGGCAGUCAAAUUAGGGGUACAAUUAGGGUUUCCAAGGGAAUCAAGAAUACCGCCAGGGAAAUAAGAGGUUAUCCACCCAAGGACACCAACAAGGCUUUAAUCAAGCCUCUCGAGCACCUCCUCCCAGAUUCCCACAAGCGGUUGCACCCCAAGUUGGACCAUCAUUUUCCUCAAAACCUCCAUUGGACAACAAAACCUCUCUACUCUAACUCAUUCAGAACCAGGAAACUUCCAUCCAAAAUUUGGAGAUUCAAAUGGGGUACGUCAGCAAGGGUCUCUCCAUUCCGCAACCGGGUACCUUACCCGAAUAUACCAAAGAGAAACCAAAAUGUGAAUAUGCUGAAUUGAAGACCAUCACUACUAGGAGUGGGAAACAAAUAAAUCCCAUUCCUAUCAUAGUAAAGCCUCCAGUGACGGUUCCCCUGAAGUCGAUUACUCAAGAUGAUGGGUCAAAUGAAGUUGAAGAUGAAACCAAAGAGGAGGAAGACGAAGCACUCCAACCUCUCUUGGAUUGCGGGGCACCAACAAUUUCCAAGGGAGCUGCGUCUAGCUCUAAACUGAUAUUGGUACCUCACCAGCCUAAGGCGCCAUAUCCCAACCGGUUGGAUAAAGAUUCUCGUGUUAGGAGUUUUGCUCAGUUUGUACAGAGGCUUAGAGGAGUGCAGCUCACACUUCCCUUCACCAAAGCCAUUUCAAAGAUGUCGAUGUACGCCAGGUUCUUGAAGGAAAUCUUCACUAAUAAGAGGAAGUUGACGGAAGCUGCAAACAUCACCCUCAAUGAGCAGUAUUCAGCCAUCGUUUCUACAUUCAUCCUAGAAAGCUCAAGGAUCCAGGUAGUUGCCAUAUCCCUUGUAGAAUUGGUGAACAAGAUAUUGAGAAGGGCUUAGCCGACUUAGGUGCUAGUAUAAAUGUGAUGCCAUGUUCUAUUUAUAGAGCACUAGACCUAAGUGAACUCAAACCAACUAAAAUGAGAAUUCAAUUGACAGAUAAGUCACUUAAAUUUCCUAGAGGGGUAGUAGAAGAUGUCUUUGUGAGAAUGGGAAAUUUGGUGUUCCUAGUUGACUUUGUGGUACUGGAUACCUGAGAUACUAACUUAUCUAUUAUCUUGGGUAGACCCUUCCUCAACACGUUGAAAUAAAUUAUAGAUGUGUUUGAGGGGACUCACACCUUGUGUGUUGACAAGGAAGAUGCUACUUUUAAGUUAACUAGAAGCAUGAAGUUUUCUGAUGCUCAGGAUGAUAUUGACGAUAAUGAUGUUGAACUUGAUGAUGUGAAUGCCAUUGCUUUGGUUUUUGGGAUUAAUGAUUUGUUCAAUCUAGAUGCCUUUGAUUCGUCCUUGAGUAAUCAACUGUUGCAGGAGUCACCCGAUGAACAGGAUCCAUAUAUAAAUCAGACUGAGGAUUGUAUAGAAGUUACUCCUCUCAUAGGAGUUUUUACAAUAAAGAAUACGUCAUACGAGGAACCACCCGAGCUCAUGCUUAAACCACUCCCAGCUCAUUUCGAGUACGCAUUCCUCGUAGAAGGCUGCAAAUUACCGAUGACCAUCAGCUCAUCUCUCACACCGAGCCAGAAAGAGAGGUUGGUGGAACUUCUAAGACAUCACACGGUGCCAAUUGCAUGGCAGAUUUCAGACAUCAAAGGCAUUAGUCCAAGCUCUGCAUGCACAAGAUUUUGAUGGAAGAAAACUUUCGUCCGGUAGUUCAACCUCAACGGCGACAGAAUCCCAAUUUGCAGGAGGUUGUUCGUAAGGAAGUUGUGAAGUUGAUGGAUGCUGGCAUUAUCUACCCCAUUUCAUACAGCGAAUGGGUUAGUCGGUGCAAGUGGUGCCGAGGAAAGGAGUCUUCAACGUUGUUGAGAAUGAUAAGAAGGAGCUAAUCUCCACUCAUACGGUUACGAGGUGGAGAGUCUGCAUUGAUUAUAGGAGGCUUAAUGAUGCCACCUAGAAGGAUUAGUUCAGCUCCCGUUCAUGGACCAGAUGCUCGAACGCCUCACUGGCCACGAGUAUUUCUAUUUCUUGGAUGGGAUGUCAGGAUACUUCCAGAUUCUGGUACCUCAUGAGGAUCAAGAGAAGACGACGUUCACUUGCCCUCUCGGCACCUUUGCAUAUAGAAGGAUGUCGUUUGGGUUGUGUAACACCCCACAAAUUUUCAGAGAUGCAUGCUGGGAAUCUUUGCUGACUUGGUGGAAGAAAUCAUGGAGGUGUACAUGGAUGAUUUCUCCGUGUAUGGCUAUUCGUUUGACCAUUGUUUGCUAAAUUUGAAGAGAGCGUUGCAGCGUUGUGAAGAAACCAACUUAGCCUUAAGUUGGGAGAAAUGCCAUUUUAUGGUCCAUGAGGGGAUCAUACUCGUGCAUAAGGUCUUUGGAAAAAGGAUUGAAGUGUAUAAGGCGAAGCUCGAGAUGAUAGCUAAUCUUCCACUCCCUUCUUCGGUCAAAGGUGUUCGCAGUUAAUAGGGCCAUGCGAAAUUCUAUAGCCGAUUCAUCAAGAAUUUCUCCAAGAUCGCAACACCCUUGAACCGUGUCCUUGAGAAAGAUGCUCCAUUCAUGGUCACCAAUGAGUGCAAGCGUUCUUUCGAGCUUCUCAACGAAAAGCUCACAAGUGCACCAAUCCUCAUCUCUCCAUAUUAGUCGCUUCCAUUUGAGCUUAUGUGCGAUGCUAGUGACUUUGCUUUGGGAGCUGUUUUGGGACAACAGAAGGGUAAUUGGUUUCACCUAUCUACUUUGCAAGCAAGUCCCUAAAUAAUGCACAGAAGAACUACACCACCACAGAGAAGGAGUUGUUAGCUGUGGUGUUUGUAAUUGAUAAGUUCAUAUCCUAUUUGGUGCUCUCUCACACCAUGGUCUUCAGUGACCACACGCCUAUCAGGUAUUUGAUGAGCAAGACAGAUGCAAAGUCGUGCCUUCUCCGGUGAAUAUUGUUGCUGCAAGAGUUUGACCUCGAGAUCAAGGAUAAAAGGGUUCCAAGAAUGUGGCUGCAGACCACCUCUCCUGCUUGAUGGAAGAGGAGAUACAAAAUUCGGAUGGGAUCCCCAUUCAACAGUGCUUUGCAGAUGGGAGGCUCUUCAUGGUCGUUGCUAAAGUCAUAGAAGGGUAAUGGUUCCCUAACAUAGCCAACUACCUCGCUAGUGGAUCCUUCCCAAAGGACGUCACCCCGCAAGGAAAAUGGUAGAUUUUGACAGACAUGAAGAACUACUUCUUGGAUGAUCCAUACCUAUUUCGCAUCGACGCGGAUAAGGUGAUUCAACGAUGCGUCCCUUACUACGAGAAUUCAGCUACCUCAAACACGGCCACGCUGGGCCAACUGGAGGACAUCUUGGUGCUAACCGCACCGCUCGAAAGGUAAUUGAUUUCAGUUUCUUUUGGCCAAAUGUCUAUAAGGAUAGUUUUGAUUAUGUGAAGUCUUGUGAUAGAUUUAAAAGGUCUGGCAACAUCUCUAAUCGGGAUGAGAUGCCCCAAAAUGUUAAUCUUGUUUGCGAGAUCUUUGAUGUCUGGGGGGUAGAUUUUUUGGGACCAUUGAUUAGUUUCUAAGUGGGCAUAGGUCAUAUCUCUUCCCACUAAUGAUGCUGGAACUGUUGGGAAUUUUUAAUCAAGUUGUUCUCUUGGUUUCGGAUACCUCAUGCUAUCAUUAGUGAUAGGGGUACCCAUUUUCAGGUCAGUUUGGCCGGGUGUGCAACCGCUUUGGUGUCUCACACUGAUUCCCUACUGCUUAUCACUCGCAGAUUAGUGGGCACGCUAAGGUGACAAACCGAGAGCUAAAAGAAUUUUACAAAAGUCUGUCGACCAAUCGAACAAAGAUUAGCCAAGUAAGCUCGAUGACGCCCUCUUGGCUUAUCACAUCGCGUACAAGAUGCCUAUAGGGACCACUCCCUAUAUACUAGUCUAUGGAAAGUCUUGCUAUUUACUAGUCGAACUAGAUCGAGCUUACUAGGUUUUAAAGUUUCUCAAUAUGGAGGCCAGUGCUAUAGGUAAACAGCGGACAUUUCAGAUACAUGAGUUGGAGGAGCUUCAACGCCAUGCCUAUGAGAGCUCUAGGAUAUACAAGGAGCGGACCAAGAAGUACCCCUGACUCCCAUUUGAGGGCCAUCAAAGAAUUCAAGGAAGAAGACAUUGUCCUCCUCUUUAACUCAAGGCUCAAGCGGUUUCCUGGGAAGCUGCAAUCCUGAUGGAGUGGUCUGUUCACUGUCACCAAGGUCUUCCCUUAUGGGACUAUCGAGGUAACAACAUCAUCCUCCUCUGAACCUUUCAAAGUAAACGGUCACCAUUUAAAACUCUACCGAGCCGGUGACACCAUUGGUGUUGUCGACGAGGUCAAUUAUUUCCCACUUUAAAUUGUUCAUGGGAGGACGUCUAGCUAAAGACUAUAAAGAAGCACUCUCAGGAGGCACCCCUUGCGUAUCUAUAGUUAGAAUAAAGAAUAAAAGCCCUUAGGUUGUGCUUGGUGUGAUUUUUUCUGUGAGUCUUGUGUUUGAGUGGAGUCCUGAGUCAUUUAUUCGUGUCCUAAAUGAUUAUUGAUGUAACUCAAAUGCUAGGGAGCUGUAUGUUAGCUUAGGAGGUUCCAAGUAGCAAUCGUUCGAGCUUUGAUAGGUGAUGAGAUCUAGGAUCAAGAAGGAAUCGUGGGCACCACUUUUCGAAAAGAGUAUUUCCACCCUUACAAGCCUUGGGUAUCAGGAAAUCCCUUCCGAGGAUAAGACCGUCUUACUCAAGUUCUUAGGCUUCAGAUACUUGAAUCACUGUCAUAAUUCGUAGGCUAGGAUAGAUGUUUGUUUCUAUGUCUUUUUCUGCACACUAUUGCCUCCUUUAUAUAGGCAAGGGGUCAAGGACAAAAUGGUGUGAGUAUCUUGCACCAAGAGGUGCCAUUAUCCCCAAGGAUAAGACUUGUAGGCAACAACCAUGAAGUCCCUACGGUUUUUGGAGGGAAAACAACUCAGAAAGAGUUUGAAUCAAACGAAAGGGUGUGUGCCCAUUCGUCCUAGGAGAGAGUGUUACCACUCCUACUACCUAGCUCCCCACCUUCACUCUAGUUCAGCUUACCGCAGCUAGUGACACUGUCAUCCAGCUCAAGGCUGAGCUGGACAAGCUUCAGUGUCAGUCCCUAGCUUCAUCUAGCUCAUAAAGGAGCUGAUGCUAGCUAGUUUCAGCUAGCUCCUGAGCUAAAGUGAGGUUUCCCGUCAACUCACAUAUUCGUCUUAUCUUUGGUAUCACACCAAGGUCAAGUCCAUGGUGCAUAUUUCCAACAUUGUGUUUGUUGGUCGUUGAGUGUGGAAUUGGCAAAAAUUGAAAAUAAAAUCCUGCUUUAAAACUGACAUGCACGCCGUGCACCCCUACAUGUCGGGCAGGUCAAUUUUACAAUGCAACUCGUAGCAAGUGCACAGCGUGUACCCCCUUUUCUGAAAUAUGGCCCGUCGCAAAAUAGGGUGAACAGCAGGUAAAAAAAAGUCGUAUCCAGAAAAACCCAAAACAAAUUUACCCGAACCAAAACCCGACCCAGCCCCCUUAUCCGAUCUCUCCACGCGUUUCUCCUCUUCUCCUUCCCCUUCUUCCACUUCCCGACUACCCUCUAUCCAUCUCCAUCCCCAACCACCGCCAACACCACCCAGCACCACACCUCUCUGCCACAGCCUUCCACCUUCGUCCCCUUCUUUCUUCCGGUCGUCCGCCACAACACUAUCCGAACACCACCACAACUCCACCAUCCCCAGCCAUCACCACCGCCCAGCCUUCCACCCGACCCCGCUGGCGCUACCUCUAGUCGGUGCUGUCGCGACCGCUGUGACCACCCUCUCCUAUCUCCUCUCUUCGUCUUCCUUUUCCUAACCCACCAACCACCUCACCUCCACACUCACUCAAACGAAAGCACCCCAUAAUCACCAAAAAUUCAAUUCGCACCCGAUUCGAAUGAUUCGGGGCUUCCCUUAGCUCUCGUCCAUUCUAGGACUGCCCCGCUCCAUCAUCCAAGAUUCAAUUUCGGUUAGUGCUUGAAUUUUUAGGUCAAAAUUUUUGAUUUCCAGAAUGUGGGUCAAUUUGAUAGAAUCAUUGUGAACCUUGUGCUUGGAAUGAUGUCUAUGAAUACGUAGGAUGCUUGUUCUUUGCCUGAACUUACUGUUCACUUGAUUUUUCAGUUUUUUUAUAUUAGUAGAAUUUUCGAGUUUAGCCUAUUUUCGAAAAUCUGAAAUUUCAAGUUGUUGUUACUGUCCAUGUGUUUCAUAUUCUUGUUUGAUGACUUGAUAUGCCUCUGCCCUACUUUUUUGCUUAGCCUCUUGUUGAUUCGAUGAAAUUUGCAAUUUUAUUAUGUGAGAUGAACUUGCUGGAUGUAACUGUGUUCUCUUGUGCUGCGAUGCCAUACUUGAUGGUUAUGAUGGCUGUUUUCUAUGACUAAUGCUAUUGCUAUAAAUUGUCAAUUCCAUCGACUUCUUUUCAUUUGGGACCUUUUGAUGGUUAUGAAGCUUGUUGUGAUUGCUGGAACUUACCCCUACCUGUUGCUAUGCCUUGGUUUAGCCAUAUUACUUAUUAAUGUGCAAGUUUACAUAUUAUGGAUGCUCAUUUGGUUUGAUUGUUCUUCCAUUGUGCUAGGAUGAUAGUUGUUCUUUCUUAAGAGUAACUAGUUAUUCUUGUCCUUUAAUUGAUGUUAUUCAUUGAGUUAUGCCUUGUCAUGAUUGAUUGGUUUGUUCUUAAUUUUGUGAGGAUGCGAACAUGCUUAUUGUCGGGAGAAAUUGAUUGUUUUAUGCGGUUGUUGGUGCAAACCUAAAUGCAAAUGUAUUGUCGAUUGAUUAUUGUUCAAUUGAUUUGCAAGAUGACUAGGAAGAAGUUUAUCGCUUCUGGUAUGGGGAAGGUGACUGGCACUCGAAAGAGACUACGACCAAAUACUCCAGAGUCUUCUUCUACAGUGGCUUCUCCACCUCGUGCAGCUCCCACAUGUACUCCUCCCCAUCCAAAGCGAGUUGUAGCCUCAUCUUCUUUUGCUCCCCAAGGACCAGAAAACGAGCCCAUUCCAACUGCUGCUUCAGCCUUACCACCCCCAGACUUGGUGCAGAGGAUCUUCAACUUCGAACAGGGGAGUGAGUUUGCCCGCCGAUACAGAGUGUAUCGGACUUGGGUAGUGACGCAUCAUGGAUACCUUGACAUUUAGGGCUUUGUGGAUAAAGGAUGGGACAGUUGGCUGAUUGGAUACUGCAACCAAGCAGGGAUUUGGCCAUUGGUACAUGUCGAUGAUCAGAAGCUCCCGCAUGUGACCAGGGAGGUCUACUCCACUAUCAGGAUCGCGAAUUACACCUCUACCCAAGAGGCGGGUAGUAUCACAUUUCAGCUCGGAGGUCAAGGCUUCUCCUUCCCAGUAGAUGAGCUAGGAGAGCAUAUGGAUUUUUACACCCGGGAGUAGGUGGUCAACUUGGAGGUGAUGUCGUUGGCCAACAUGGAGAAGAAGGCAAUUCUGAAUCCGAGGGAGUUUUGGCUGGAUAUCUCGUGGGGGUGGUACCACCUAUUUUGCUCACUCGUCAAAAGCGAGACGGGUUAAGUUGCCAAGGCUUAGGCUUCUCCUCUUGCUUUCUCAACAUUCCAUCACCGCCUGGAAGCAGGCUAGAAAUGGAUGGGUAGUGAACGCCAUAGACUUGUGGCUCUUUUAUUGCCUCGAGAAGGGAGUGAAGGUUUGUCUCAGCGACUUGUUGGUUGGGUUGUUUAGGCGUUUCCUCGAGCAGAGAGGGAUGGGAGUUCUAUUUGGAGGGAGCUACAUUGCACGGCUGGUGUGACAGCUUGGAGUGUUAAAUGCCUUUGGGUAGGACCCGUUGUAUCAGCGUGGGUUUCCCAUCAUAGAGUUCCCAACCUGACAGCUUCUAUUUGCCAGUGGACCCAAAGCUACAAGAGAGAGAGAGGUUGCAGACUUCCCAGCAGAGUCAGUUGAGACACUUGCAGUCCAUAUGGGGAUUUGUAGAUGGGUGUGAGUGAUUUUCUGGACAGUCAGAGGGGACUCAGGCAUGACUUUCAGAAGUUAGAAGAAGACAGCUAAGCUGUAGAGCAGAGAGACUUCAGAGCGAUAUGCGAGGACUUUGCCAUGAUAUUCAGCAGUAUGCCACUGAGACUAGGGACCUUAGGGACGUCAGGACAGGCAAGCUGAGCAGUUUUCCAAGACUCAGGCUCACCAGGGCUAGUGGAUACAACACCAGGGCCAGCAGAUCACUUACAUCCACCAGCAGCAGCAUUGGCUUAGUGGACACAUGUCCUACUUAUCAGGACAGCUACUUCACCAAAGCGACCUUUCCUCCUCUGUGGCCAGCAUAUUCGCCAGCACCAUAGUGGCCUGAAUAUGAUUUGUACCCUCUGUUUUCGGGGUACCCAUAUCCUCCACUAGAUCAGUGAUUGUUUAGGACGUAUCAGUGACUUAGACUUUUGUGUUUUAGUUUUUCAUUUGAGACUUUGUGAUUUUUAUUUCUCUUAAUUUUUCUUGGUGGUCUGUAUAACGAAUGAUAACUUCAGUUACAUCUAUCACAAGUACAUUGUUUUUGUAUGAGUGGCACGUUCCAAAAAUGGUUGUUCUAUCACAUCUCACCAUCAAACUCCAUUUCACCAACUCAAUUUGGUAUCAAUUAUUCUCUUCUAUAAUGUGACUUCUUGUGAGGGUAAUGUUGUGGUUUGUGGGAUGAAUUAGGGUGCUAGUAUUUCACUUGAUUGCUUUGAUUGAAUUCUUGUCUCUUAAUAUUUGAAAAGCCCUCUUAAACUUGAAAACUUUGGAUGAUUUGGAUACAUGUUUAGCAUAGUAUUGCUACUUGAGGGUGAAUAUGAUGCAUGAUAGAUCAUUUUUGGGCCGCCUCCUAUUUUUCUAGAAACAAGUUUAGAAUAAAUUUAUCUAUUUGGUUACUCAGUCUUGAUCUCUACCGACUUUAUGAAUAAUUAAUUCCCCUAUUGAGUUACUCUAGUUGUUUAAAAUCAUAUUUGACUAGAUGGUCCGAAUAAGGUGCAAAAGAGGCCAAUGUGUCCAAAUUUUCAUGGGGGUUUGGUUGCGAUUCAGCACACUGGUGACUUUGAGUCUCCUGCCUGCAAGCUAGUCCCUUCGGGCUUCUCUUCUCACCCUUUUCUAGUUGUGGGUCGGGGUUUUUUAGGUAAACUUGAUCUAUAUGGAUGAGAGCCUUAGCCUGAUCAGUGUCACAACUACCCCCACUUGGAAAGAUACCCCGAAAAGCUAUACAAUUUUUUGUAAGAUGGGGUUGCAAUUAAUUGAGUAAUUAAAUUGACCCAUAAGUGUUUAGUAUAUCAUGUAUAUAAAAAUUAUACAAGAAGAGGGGAUUGCUCUAGUUAGAAUAAAUUAUUAAAGUAAGCACUCCCUCCCUCAGGACGGGAAAAUACCUGGCCAAUACCAUAUGCUUUGAGCAUAAGUGAUAGGGAAAAUGUUUUUAUCGGUGGGUGUUGAGUGGUACAGUUUCCCUAUAAAAGUCAGAAUUUGAGUAAAUGUUUUCUACAGUUUCCCUAUAAAAGUCCGAAUUUGAGUAAAGAGAAAGAAGAUCUUCCAUAGCAUAAUUCCUUUAAUUUCCCAUGAUCUACCUCUGCAAAAACACCAUAUUCCCAUCCCUAGAAAUCCGAUUGAAGAUCCAAAGGAGUCCCCCUUGAAGAUUGAAGCUAGAAGAUUAAAAGCGAAGAUUCGAGCAAGUCUGAUUCAUUGUCUCUUGAUCAAGAUGGUGGUUAGUCUUAUUCUACUUUUUCUUCUUCUAGAGUCAUGAGUAGCUAAUUCUUUGAAGUUUCUUGGAUGGGAUGUAAGAAUUAAGCCUGAUACUCUCCCUAAAAGUAUAGGAUCGAUGAUUAUUGGAUAAUUGGAUUUGAAUGAAAGAUUGCUUUGAUUAUUGGGUUUUCAACCUUGUUCUUGUUACCAGUUGAAUUAGGUCAAAUCUAUGAAAUCCUCUAUUUGAUCAACUCUGGAAUUCAUAUGAUUCACAAUCUAAGAUUGAAGAAAGUUAAUGGGUGAGUAAGCCAAUAGCUUGAUUCUACCUUUUGUGCUUCUUUUGGUUUUAAUGGUUAUUCAUCAAACAAUUGGUGGGCACUCUGGUUUGCACCUAAUGGACCAAGGUGGGUGUAGUUAUCAGUAGCUUAGGUGUUGAUGGAACAAGUUAACACUAACUCCAAUUACUUGUGAUUUCCUUUAAUUUUUAAAGAGCACCUUAUCACUUUGUAGAACUUCUCAGUGUUCAUUACUAGUUAGCCUAAUUGACAACCUUAAUUUGGAAACUAGUAGUGGUAAUCGGUGUGCAUGAUCAUGCCACGGAUUCAUAAUAGUGAUAAAAGGAAUCGUAUUGUUCAAUCCAAGUCCAAUGUUGCUCGAUUUGAUGUUGCUCGAUCUGACUACUAUUAGGAAGUUGAGCUUGUUGAAUCAUCCUUUCCAAGAACUUGUUCUCUCCUUCUGAUCAGACCUCAAUUGCUAGUUUAAUUGAGUUAAUAGAAUAAUUAGACACCAAAAUCAAUUCGUUGGGUUUCAUGCAUCACGACUUGUGGUGAUGAUCCCACUGAACUCUGUCAACUAUUAUAACAUUUCAUUCGAUUAUAAACCUCAAUCAAAUGGGAAAGGAAAAAAAUAUUCAUUUUAUUGAAACAAUUGGAUGUCAUACAUCUCAUGUAGAAACUCUACUACAUAAUGUAUGUACAAUUCUAAGCAGGUCUCAAACACAAUCUCCAACAACUUGUCUGAGUCCUUUAGCCAGGUGGGCAGCUUUAUGCUAGCACCGGUUAAAGGUUUAGACAAUGGAUUGAAAAUGUUAUCAUCCAUUGACACUUUGCACAGUCUGAUCAAGUGUCUCAUCACAUUAAUGUGCAUUGACAUUGUCUUGGGGUUUGGUUCCUUCAGCUAGGAAGUUGUCCAAUUGUUUUCACAAUGGAGCUCCAUUUCCUUGUCAUAAGAGCAUACCACCACAAGUUCUGUCAGAAACCUCUUGAUCCAGAAAGCUUACAUUACUGCUUCAGUAGAAGAUUGAGCCACUAAAAUUCCAUUUGGUGCUCUUCCAACAUACCAGUCUUUCAUAUAACAUGAAUGCGUAUCUGGAUUGUGACUUUGUGUCAUCAAACUUAGUCAUUUGGUACUUGGCAUCACUAUGCUCUUUUAAAGUUUUACCGUCAACUAUUUUUCACCCCAAAUACAAGAAAAUAAUCAUGGUAUUUACUACACAUGCUUAUAGCAUAUGGAUCUUCAGAUUGAGUACAUGUCACGACAUACAUGAUGGAUCCUAUAACCAGAUUAUAUGGAAACCUUAUCAUUUUC
This 51388-nucleotide long non-coding RNA is filed under the name Linum usitatissimum (flax). RNAcentral's name for it is "long non-coding RNA (LUSI_LNC004893)". The record is from RNAcentral. Lineage: Eukaryota; Viridiplantae; Streptophyta; Magnoliopsida; Malpighiales; Linaceae.